AGUAAUUCCCUGGGAUUUCACUUCCAGGCAUGCUCUGUCUGCUCCUCCAUCCUAUCCUCAGUCUGUGUGUGUGUGUAAGAAAGAAAUUGUGCUGUAUCCUCCUCUCGCUCGCUCCUCUUGUUGUGGAUCUAUUGUUAGGUGACUGACACACACACACACUCACACACACACACACACACACACACACACACACACACACACACACACACACACACACACACUCACACUCAAAGAGGAGCACAAGGUGGACUACAGAAGGCAGCAGCAGGGACGGGGCAGAGAUGGUGAGUGACGUGUUUUUGUGUGUGUGUAUGUGUGUGUGUGUGUGUCCUGCUGAUAGUUUUAUUGUUUUUUGAUUAUCUGAUGACUGAGGGUGUGUGCGGAUUAUGUCUGUUGUUGCAGAUGUUUGAGUUGAUUAUUGAUUAGCAUGCAGAGCUGCUGUGUGUGUGUGUGCGUGUGUGCGUGCGUGCGCGCCUUACACAGAAUCAGCCUUGAUCAGGUGUUUUUUUCUGGUAAGUGUAUCAGGUGCAUCAUUUUGUGUAUGUGUGUGCGUGUGUGUGUGUGUUUGCUCAGCUGCAGGCACAUCAUCCCGUCGCUUAGUGUCACCAUGGUAACCGUGAACCAGAGUUAUGACCUGACAUGCUGAUGUUUGGUGUGUGACUCUGUCUCAGCUUUCUGUGCUCCCUGGAGCCUCACAAACACUUUGCUCUAUCAAAGGGUUUUUAUUUUGGCGAUAAAUGAAUUUCAGAUUCAAAAGCUGUGUUUGUGCUGCAGCAGGAUUACUGAAUGAAUGCAUGAAUGAAGAUUUCUAUUGUGAAAGCACAGUGAAAGCUCAUUUGUGGGUCUCUAUCAAUGAAUCAACACGCGAUGUAACGAGCAGCAAAAACACACUCAGGGAUAAAAAUAACUGCAGUGAGGAACGAAAGCAGCAGAGGAGACACUUGUUUAUCAUCAAUCAGAAAAUCAAAGUCUGCAGCUCCAUGCAUCAAACUCCUCCAAAUCAGAGAAGACCAGGGCAUACAGGCUAGUCUUUGUCUGCCCUGUAGAGGAGAUUAUUUUUCUCUCCAUUUUAGAGACACAUUUUUCUAAACUUUAAACCAAGUUUUUAAAACUAGUUCUCCAAACCUCAGACUUUUGUGCCGAAGCAGUCUGAUCCAAACUGUUUAAUCUGAGCUCAGACUUGAACUCUGUUUUCACUUCACACACACACAGGAGACAGUCAAAUUACUAAGCAGCUAAUUCAGUCUGCAACAGUGAGCUGGUCAAGAUCACUGCAGGAAAAACAGAGUUCACCAAACUGUGAGUCACCAAGUAAAGUUCAUACAGGGACUUACACAGUUAAAAGCAGAAACAUUGUCAAAGGAGUAUUUAGAGAACUUACAGCAGGAGGAGGGGAGAGCAGCAGCAAAGCCUUACAGAAUAAGCAGGAAGUGUAGGCAGGCUCAAUAAAUGAUGAAUGUCUCUUUCUAGAUGCCUCUUUUAUACCAGCUUAUAAUCACAAUGAGAUAGAUUUAAAUCCUCGUGAAGCUGUGGACUGAAGGAGAGAAACCUGAAAGAUAAUCUCAUGAUGACUGACUGAGCUUUUUCAUCUUUAACAAACAGCAAAAGCACUGAGACUGUGAAGUUAACUCUCUCUGUGAGACCGGCAGCUUUAGCCGAUAACCUCUGAGUCAUCCGUCAGAAACAAAGAUCAUCUGAGAAGAUUUAUGGAGGAGUUUAGAGAAAUAGAGUCAUUUCUAACAUGAGUGCUAGGCAGAAGCUUCCAUCUUUGUUUUGGUCUGUUGACCAGUCAUAGACUGUAUCUGCUAUUAGCUGACCUGUCAAGUCCAAUCAGAGACCAGGCUUCCUACCUGAGUGGGGUAGUGACUGUAGUAGAAUGUCUUUUUGAUCCACAGUCAGUCCACUGAUGAGAAGCUGGAUGGACAAGCUAAGGGGUCAUGGCCUCAGUGAGUCCUGAUGACUGGGUUUAAGCUGAGCUGAAGUUUACACCAUUGUGUAAACUUCAUUACACAAUGUUACCUGCAGCUAUAGAUACUGACUCCUCCUCUUAAACCCUAUUAGCUCAGACAGGAAGUGACAUCACAGAGGUAAAACCACGGACCACAUAAAAACUGGAAGUAGAGUUUUGGCGGUCAUUAGUUUGAUAAUACUGACUCAUUCUAACCUUUAGUUGACCUAUCAGAAGCCUGCCUUUGGCCUCCUCGCUAAUAGCUACAGUGUGACCGCCUGUCAGUCAAGCCAGCUGUCCCUCUGAUUUGCUGUUCUUGUAACCUGAAUAUCAUCAAAACAAACAUGUUAUUAAAAAACUUUCUGACGUAAGAGCCCUCAGAUACUAAGACCCAAACGGUUCUUUCUGCUGUAAUAAUGGCUUUUUGAGUGAGUGUGUUCUGUUUCAUUUUGUUUAUCUCCGUUAGCUUUGGCUAAGGCCAUUGCUAUUCUUCCUGGAGUCUACAUUAACAAUUAGCGUUCCAUUGCAGUGCACAGUCACAAAAAACAUCACGCCACAAACACAAAGACAACGUCGAUAUCCACAACAACUCACAAAAGCCUCCAAGACAAAACAACAAGACUAGAACAAUACAAACAACAUACACAUGUUAUUGGACCUUAAACAUUUCCACAGUGUUGCUUUAGUUCUAAAACAAUCAGAUGUUCAAAUAUCAACUUACAUUCCACAUAAUUGAGUUAAUUUACAGAAACAGUACCCAAUACAUAAACAGACUUCCAAUAUUUCAAGUAGAUCAGACAAACACUGAUUGAUUGUACCAAGCUUCAUCUGAAUAAGGAGCUGUUUGACGAGUAAAUGUCCUUUAACUAGAUCUUUUAAUCUGUAUUUGUUGUGUUCUUGGAUGAUAUGUCCUGGCAGAGCAUUCCAUAUCACCAUGGCCCUAUACAUUGCGGUACUUUUUAUUUGGUUUGUUUUUAAUUUGGGUAAGGUGAAUUUACCCCCCAUAGCAUGUCUUGUUCUGUAACAGUGUUCACCCGAACUGAAAGACAAACGAUUGUGAAGAACCCUUGGCAAUUUCGUCACAGAUAGUCUUUUCAUGAAAGCUGCUAAUGAGGCAGUAAAUUUGUUCCUUACAUUCAACCAGGCUGGUUUUGUAUGGACAGUGAAGUAAAUAUUGUGCUGCCUGGUUCUGAGCCAUUUGCAGUUUCUUUAUAUGUGAUGAAGCAGCGCACAACCAAACCUCUGAAUAAUCGAGGUGUGAUAACACCAAACUAUUCAUCACACUUCCCCUUACAUUUACAGGUAAUAAAUCACAUCUCCUUAUCACCGACAGACUCCUGCCCAUUUUAUUUAUUACUUUCUCAAUAUGUUUUGCCCAUGUCAGUUCCUAGAAGUUUGGUUUCGUGCGUUUGUUCUACCAUCACAUCAUACACAUACAGCUUCAGUUUUGGCUGAUUUCUUAACAUGUUUUUUGUCCCAAACACAAUGCUGUUUGUCUUAGAGGUAUUACGAACUAAUUUAUUAUCAGUUAUCAGUUUCACCACAACUUGGAGUUCCUAAAUUAAAACACUGCUAAGUUCAUUUAUUGUGGUUUUAGCUAUAUCUAUUGUUGUAUCAUCUGCAUACACUGAAAUUUUUGCGUCCUUUAGGGUCAGUGGUAAGUUAGGCAUGUGCCGAUAUGAAAAAAUUUGAUAUCAGGAUAUUGGUGGCCCACAAUAUCAUGAUUCACGAUAUUAUCACGUUAUUAGCGCAUUGCUUUUAACGUUAUUAAAAUGGCAAAAAACUGCGAAAUCACUUCUCUGUGCACAGCAUGACACGCACAAACAAUAUAAGCAAGAGGCAGCUAAUGCCAGCUGAUGUUGGGAGCAUUAGCUUUUUGGAGCUAAAGUUAGCAGAAAUGUCACUAACGUUGCCAAUCAUAAGCAGUAGAGUAGACCAAACUUGUUGUGGUCAUGUUGUUUUUACCUUGAUUUGGGCGAACGAUGCUGGAUGGUGUUCACGGAGGUAGGCACGUAGGUUUGAAGUUUUAGAUAACGGCGCUGCAACUUCCUUACAGCAUAACCUGCAGAUUGGUGUCAGGUUUACCUGCUCCGCCUGUUUUGUGAAGCCGUAAAACAUCCAUACUGCCAACGAAACGUUUUUAAUAGGAGCAUACAGCUGACGCGUUUCGUCAUUCUCAGUCCCCGACUGUUCUUGGUCUGGUGUUAUGCCGUAGAAUGCACCCCUGCUGUUGAAUGCACCCCUGAUGGGAGCACGGUUGAAAGUACAUAACAAGGCGAAAUAAUCCAAGUUUACCUUACUGCUGGGUGGAUUCAAAAGCGUGUGCCUAAUGAUUUCAUUCAGACUAUUCAGAUAAGCCGAAAACAAUAGCCCUCUGAUUCGGAAUAUUUGCUGUCCCGAAAAUAUACUGCUGUCUACCAUGACAUCUUACUGCACAGUUUAUGUACCCAAGUACACCUCUAUAUGUGAAUUUGGACACAUAAAAACAGAACGAAAGUUUGCUGCUCCAUUUGACAUGUUGUCAUGAUCCAAUACUCGUUCUUUUUAAAAUAUCAGAUCAUAUCUCCUCCACUUUAAGAAGCUAAUGAGCGGAUGGGAUGCAUUGUGGACACACUCCAACAGUGCUUUGGGUGGCCGCAAUGCAUUGUGGGUGGCCACACAUUUUGUUGUAAAUUUUCUUCAUUUUCUCUUUUAAUGUUCCCGUUUUUGUUAGGCUGGCAUUAAUGUACUUAAUUCAAGAGUUUUUUUGGAUUUGGGACUACUUUUGUGGUGGUUUGUUUGUACAUUUUGCUGCCAAGGCUUUGACACCGUGGGUAAGACUACAAGCGGGUUAGGUUGGUUAGUACUCGGCUUCACUCGCCUAUAAAAUGUAAUUGUGGAACGAUUAUUACAGUACCUUACGAUAUCAUCAUCACAGCUAUUUAAUAUCACAUAUCGCGAUAAAAUCGUAUAUCCGCACAUCCCUAUGGUAAGUCCUUCGUGAAUAUUGAAUAUGGCAAAGGGCCAAGGCUACCACCCUGCGGGACGCCAAGGUCAAUUACUUUUGCAUCAGACAGACUUCCAUUAAAAAAGACUGUCUGUCUCCUGUUUUGUGUGUGUUUGGUUCCUGGUGUGUCUGCAGACAGCCUCCAGUGGACACUGAGAACUGCAGAUUUAACAUUUCAUGGAGGUUUCCAAACAUGUUUAAACACAGAAUCAGUGUCAGAGUGAGAGAGUGAGAUGAAAAGAGACGAAAAGAUCCCUUUGCCAGUGUGUGUGUGUGUGUGUGUGUGUGUGUGUGUGUGUGUGUGUGUGUGUGUGUGUGUGUGUGUGUGUGUGUGCCACAUGGCAGCGUUGAGCUAAUCCUGGCCAGUUCCCCUGCAAUCCUCCUGCAGAGCCAAUUGCAGCAAAGAGGGAUGAGAGGCUCUGAUGCAGCUCUGUCAGCUCUCAGUCAAGGAGCUGACAGAGAAAGAGAGAAAGGGUAGUGUGUGUUUCUGUGACUGAGUGUGUGUGAAUGAGUGAGUGUCUAUGAGACGGUGUGUGUUUUAUUGUGAGAGGAUGAGGAUUUCUCUGAGAGGCUCAUUCAGGCUCUGUCCUCACUCAGCGACUUUCAUCAUAAUCAGAAUUUACUUUCACUCAGGGAAAGUGCAACAAUUCCACGAAAUGUUCCUCUGCACAGAAACAGUUCCAAUCCUCACGUUGGCCAGUAGGUGGCGAUAAUGUGUCAAACACAACAAAAGAAUGCAGGGCAGGUGUGUUUAGUGUCCUACUGAACAAGACAAAUUUACAAACUGUUCUUACAGAACUGUUCUUCCACAAACUGGGAAAUCAAACUCAAUGAAAACUGGUGUUACUCUGGUUAUACUGCCACCUACUGGUCUGGCACACAAACCGCUGCAUUUUUGUCCUGUGGCGUCAGAAACACACAAAGGUUUUUCAAAAGUAGGGAGGGUAUUUUAAUAUUUAUAAUACAUUAGCAAUUAAAGACAAUAGUCCACAGUUCAUGACGCUGUGUCAGUUAAUAAUAAUAAUAAUAAUAAUAAUAAAAAGUUGUACAGUCUGAUGGCUGUGGGUACAAAAGAUCUUCUGAAUCUUUCUGUCCUGCAGCAAAGAGAGAGGAGCCGUCCACCACCAUUGGCCCUUUGGUCCAUUAAGGUGUUGUGUAGUGGGUGAUCCAUGUUCUUGAGAAUAGUCUCCGCUUUCCUCAGUGUGGAUCUCUCCACCACAUCCUCCACUGAGUCCAGCUUGAAUCCAACCACAGCCAGCCUUUUUCACCAGUUUGUUUGGAUGUCUUCCAUCUUUUUGUUUGAUGCGUCCUCCCCAGCAGACUGCAGCGUAGAACAGCACACUUGCCACCACAGACUGAUUAAACAUCUGCAGCAUCUUUCUACAGAUGUCUAUUAAUCAGAAUCUUCUCAGGCAGAAGAGGUGACUCUGCCCCUUUCUGUAGAUGAAGUCUAUAUUCUGAGACCAGUCCAACUUCCUGUGGAAGUCUAUGAUCAUCUCCAUUGUCUUUGAGGUGUUGAGGAGGAGGCAGUUUUUGUGACUCCAGUCAUUGAAAGCUCUUAUCAGAUCUCUGUGUUCAGCUUCCUGUUUAUUUCUGAUACAUGCCACGAUAGCGGUGUCAUCAGAGUAUUUCUGGAUGUGGCAGGACUCAGUACAAUAUUUUAAGUCUGAGGUAUACAGUGUGAACAGGAAUGGCACCAGCACUGUCCCUUGUGGAGCCCCUGUACUGCUCAUUAAUGUCCCAGAAACACAGUUCCCCAGCCUGACAAACUGUGGCCUCCUAUCAGGUAAUCUGCGAUCCAGGAAACACAGGAAGGAUCCACUCCCAUCUCUGUGAGCUUGUCUUUGAGUAUGGUGGGUUGGAUGGUGUUGAAGGCAUUUGAAAAGUCAAAGAACAUGAUCGUAACAUAAAUCCCAGGUUCCUCCAGAUGAGACAGGGCACGGUGAAGCUUGUACAGGACAGCCUCAUCCAUUCUGAUGUGUUCUUUGUUUGCAAAUUGCAGGGAAUCCAGCUUGUCUUUGACCUCAGACCUCAGAAGGCGUAGAAUCAGCCGCUCCAGGGUUUUCAUGAUGUGUGAAGUGAGGGCCACUGGUCUGUAGUCAUUGAGUUCAGCAGGACAUUUUGUUUUUGGUACUGGCACAAUGCAGGACGUUUUCCACAGAGCAGGUACCCACCCCAGCUGUAGUCUCAGGUUGAAGAUCCUGUGGAGAGGUUGACACAGUUCUGCAGCACAGCCUCUAAGCAGCCUUGGACACACACCAUCUGGACCAGCUGCCUUCCCAGGACAAAGUCUUCCAAGCUCCAUCCUCACCCCUGUUUUGGUGACAGACGAGGACUGGUGUUCUAGGAGGGAGGCAGUUGAAGUGGUUGAGACAUUUGAACAAGAUGGAAGAGGAACAGGAUAAGUUGUAGUGGAGAUUUGUUACAGAGAGGAAGGUAGAGUAGCAGAGGAAGUGGGUGUGAUAGCAGUGUCAAAUCUGUUGAAGAACAGGUUGAGUUCAUCAGCUCUUUUCACAUCAUCCACCACCGGCUGUCUUUUCUUUUUAUUGCUGUGUCCAGCGAUGGUACUGAUGCCUCUCCACACUUCACGGAUGUUGCUGUGUUGUAGAUUCUUCUCCACACUGGAGUCCGAGUUGUUUUGAUUCAACCAGGUUUCAGUAAAACACAGGAGACUGCACUCACAGUAUGCUUUCUCAGUCUUCACCAAUAUCUCCAGCUCAUUGCUUUUGUAGGGCAGGAGUGGUUGCCGUUGCCAUGGUUGCCGUGCUGGUGCAAAGGUGAAGGCAAAACUGAAUUCUAGGAGGUGGCAAUAUAAACCCUUUCUUCCAUCAAUCAUGGGAAACGUCAACUCUGUGCCCAACAAAAGCAAUGAGCUGGAGAUAUUGGUGAAGACUGAGAAAGCAUACUGUGAGUGCAGUCUCCUGUGUUUUACUGAAACCUGGUUGAAUCAAAACAACUCGGACUCCAGUGUGGAUCUACCUGGCUUCACUCUCAUAAGGUCAGACAGAGAUGCUCAAGCUAGUGGCAAGAAGAAAGGAGGAGGUCUGGCUUUAUUUGUCAACCAGAGAUGGUGUAACCCUUCACACACAAUUGUCAAGGAGAAGUUGUGUUGUCCAGUUAUUGAACUGUUGGCAGUUGCUCUUUGGCCAUGUUAUGUUCCAAGAGAAUUUAGUCAAAUCAUAACAAUAGUUGUUUACAUUCCAGCCAAAUCAACUGAAGUAAUUCCAUGUGAUCGUUUGCAUAAUAGUGUUGCCAGGCUACGGACUCAACACCCUGAGGCACUAAUAAUAAUAUCGGGAGACUUCAACCAUGUCACCCUCUCCUCUUACCUGACUGGAUUCACACAGUUUGUGAACUGUCCUACCAGAGAAAACAAGACCCUGGAUCUGCUGUAUGCCAACAUCAAAGAAGCCUACAGAGCCACUGCCUUACCACCUCUGGGCAAUUCAGAUCAUAACUUUGUCUAUCUUCAAACCUGUUACAGACCUUGCGUGCUGAGACAGCCUGUGACCAAAGUCAAAAUCAGAAGAUGGACACCUCAAGCUAGUGAAGCUCUAAGGGACUGUUUUAAAUCAACAGACUGGAGUAUGCUGCUGGAAACAGAUGUGGAUAGUAUGAACAUUGACAAACAGGUUGACUGCUUUACUGAUUAUGUCAACUUCUGUAGAGACACAGUUAUACCCACAAAAACUGUUCGCUGUUUCCCCAACAACAAACCCUGGAUCACAAGAGAAAUAAAAGCAAUCCUUAACCAGAAAAAGAAAGCUUUUAAAGAUGGUGACAAAGAACAACUCAAACAAGUGCAACAAGAGAUGAAGAGGGGAGUAAAGAUGGCAAAGCCUGAGUACAAAAAGAAGAUAGAGAAUAAUCUACUAAAUAGCAACAUCUGUGAAGUGUGGAGAGAAAUCAGUACCAUCUCUGGACACAGCAGUAAAAAGAAAAGACAGCCGGUGGUGGGUGAUGUGGAAAGAGCGAAUGAACUAUUCUAAAAUACAUCUUCUGAUACAACUUAAACACAUCUUCAGUAAUGUAUCCUGAGUUCAUAGGGUGUUUCGGGUCUUGCAACAUUAUACACCCUCGCCCAGGCGACCCAGCCACGGUUGAUCAAGCCGCGGCUUGUGUUCAGGUGGCAUUCACUUGUCCCCAUGGUUCUCCUUUUCAGAUCCAGAGCCAUCUCGAGGCUUUCUCAGCUGCCUCAGUGGUGUUCUUGAUGGCUCUGCUCCUUGCGCUUCCCGUAAUGCCCAACAUGCUCAGGGCUUUGUGGAGUGAGCGUCCCACAAUUCCCCUGCUGCCAACUUCGAUGGGCAUACAUCGUGCCUUCCAGCCCUGUUGACAACAUUCGAUUACCAGAUGUUCAUACUUGGUCCUCUUCCUUUCAUGGGUCUCCCCCAAGCGGUCCUCCCAUGGCGCCGUCAGCUCCAUGAUCACGAUGUUCUUGGUGCUCUCUGAGACCAGGAGGAUGUCUGGCCUCAGGGUGGUGCUGACGACGUGCUGGGGGAACCGUAGCUGCUUCUCUAGAUCUACCGAGAGCUGCCAAUUUUGGGCAGUUGCCAGGAUCCCUGCUGGUGCCUUCUUGCCACCUGCCUUUGGCUGAACUUCUGCUUUGACAAAAGCGAUGGUGUCGGUGGUGUUGCGCACCUGGCAACAGCUGCUGAUACCCCUGCUGAUGGCUUCAGCAAUUGGCUUCAGCACCUGGUUGUGGCGCCAGAUGUAUCGGCCUUGGCCGAGUGCUGUUGGGCAGGAGCUCAGGAUGUGUUCCAGUGUUCCUCUCCCUGAGCGCAGCUGGCAGCUCGGGGUCUCCACCUUCUCCCAGGUGAAUAGGUUUGCUGGGCUUGGUAGGACGUCGUAGACUGCCCGGAUUAGGAAGCUGAUACGGUGUGGGUCAGCCUGCCACAGGUCCGUCCAGGUGACUUUCCGGUCCAUGGCGUGCUCCCAUCUGGUCCAGGCCACCUGCUGCCUGAGACCAGCCACUCUGCUUGUUCUCCCUUCCUCCACUGCAGUCCUGACCUCCUCCUGUAUGCCUUUGCUGUUCCGUCCCCUUGCACUCCCUGUGUCAAGGUGGUGUUGGGAACAUCCCCAGACCUGCUCUACCGUGGGCCACUACACCCACCAGAUCUCUGUGGCGCAGCCUUGCCUCCGCAUCCAGCACAGCAGACUGGGCACUCCACUUCCUCCCGGUCUUCACCACGACUCCUGCCUGGGCCACCUUUGGGUCCUUUGAGUCUCGGUACAGCAGCGCCUCUCUGGUCCGAGUCACCUUGAACUCCUCCUCCUCCAGAGACUUCAAGGGCAACCGGAGCUUUGUGGUGUUCCCAUAGAGGGCAAUGUUACUGAGGCUCCUGGGCAACCCCAACCAUCUUCUGAGACAGAAGGUGACCAGGUGCUGACCUUCCUCUCCAAGGUCUCCACCGUGGAGAUGGUGACCUCAUAGACAAGUAAUGGCCAGAGUAUCCUUGGUAAGAUCCCAUGCUAGUAUAUCCAUGCCUUAAACUUGCCUGGGAGGCCAGAUCUGUCUACUGCUCUCAGCCAGCUGUCUAGUUCCUGGCAGGUUGACUGGACCGAUGUGGAGUCUUUGAGGCUGCUGUCAAACACCUUGCCCAAGCUCUUCACAGGCUUUUCUGAGAGUGAUGGUAUCGUUAACCCUGCGAUGUUGAACCGGAACCUGUCCAUGACCUUGCCCCUCUUCACCACCAGUGAUCUGGACUUGGCUGGUUUGAAUCCCAUCCGAGCCCAACAGAUGAGCCUUUGCAGCCCUUGGAGGAUCCACCUGCACCCUGGCACUGUCUCCGUGGUGACUGUCAGGUCGUCCAUGAAAGCCCUGAUUGGGGGUUGGCGAGUCCCUGAUUGGGUCUGUGGGCCUCUGCACUCUGGCUCCGCCGACUUCAAAAUCAUGUUCAUCGCCAGGGCAAACAAGGUUACAGAGAUGGUGCAGCCUGUAAUUAUGCCCACCUCCAACUGGUGCCACUCUGAUGUUACUUCCCCUGCUGUGACUCUCAUCCUGAACUGAUUGUCAUAAUCCAGGAUGUGUUCUGCAACUUGGUGUGGCACAUGGUGUUUGGUCAUGAUGGUCUGGACCAGUUUGUGUGGGAUGGAGUCAUAUGCAUUGGCUAGGUCUAACCGCAGAACUGUAAGGUCUCCCUUGUUCUCCCGGGAUUCCCGGAUGAGCUGAGUCACCACUCCAGUGUGUUCUAGACUGCCCGGUACUCCGGCGAUCCCUCCCUUUUGCGAUCCCUCCCUCCCUUGAAGUCCGCCAGCCUCCUUGCUACUAUGCUGAAGAAGAUCUUUCCUUCCACGCUCAGCAGGGAGAUGAUUCUGAACUGGUUGAUCUUCUUGGAAUCUUUCUCUUUGGGGAUCCAGACUCCUUCAGCAAAUCUCCACUGCUGUGCCACCUUUCCCCUCCUCCAUAUGACUCUGAGGAUCUUCCAGAGUCUCUUCAGUAGCAAUGGACAGUUCUUGUAGACCUUGUAUGGCACACCACUAGGUCCAGGGGCGGAGCUAGCUCUUGCCUUCUUCACAACCUCCUGAACCUCUUUCAGAAGUGGCUCCCUGGUGUCAAACUCCUUAGUAGGAGGUGGUGGGUCUACAAGGAAAAUACACUGCUAGGAUCACUGUAGGUGUUGUGGAAAUGCAAGUCAACUUUCUCCUUGGAACAUUCCAGGUUCCCAUCCCGUUUCUGUCCUAGCAGCUGUUUGGUGAAGCCAAAGGGGUUGGCUAUGAACGAAGCACGCUUCCUGGAUCUCUCUUUCCCGCGCAUUCGGUGGUAUUCAGCUCUGCGCAGGGUCAUCAGCCUUUUCCUCAAGAUAGCCCGCAGUUCUGCCAAGGGGGGGCGUUGCUCCUCACUGGCUGCUUUGUGCUGCUUCUUGAGGGACUUCAGUUCCUGUCGGAUUCUGUGGAUCUUCACUGCCCGUUGGUUCAUGGUGUAGGACGUCCGAGCUGCUCAACUCAACCUGUUCUUCAACAGAUUUGACACUGCUGUCACACCCACUUCCACUGGCUGCUUAGAUACUGUGCUGCAGAACUGUGUCAACCUCUCCACAAGAUCUUCAACCUGAGACUACAGCUGGGGCAGGUACCUGCUCUGUGGAAAACAUCCUGUAUUGUGCCAGUACCAAAAACAAAAUGUCCUGCUGAACUCAAUGACUACAGACCAGUGGCCCUCACUUCACACAUCAUGAAAACCCUGGAGUGGCUGAUCCUACGCCUUCUGAGGUCUGAGGUCAAAGACAAACUGGACUCCCUGCAGUUUGCAUACAAAGAACACAUUAGAGUGGAUGAUGCUGUCCUCUACAUGCUUCACCGUGCCCUGUCUCAUCUGGAGGGACCUGGGGUUUAUAUGAAGAUCAUGUUCUUUGACUUUUCAAGUGCAUUCAACACCAUCCAACUCACCAUACUCAAAGACAAGCUCAUAGAGAUGGGAGUGGAUCCUUCCUGUGUUUCCGGGAUCACAGAUUACCUGACAGGAAGGCCACAGUUUGUCAGGCUGGGAAACUGUGUUUCUGGGACAUUAAUGAGCAGUACAGGGGCUCCACAAGGGACUUCAAAUACAGUACUGAGUCCUGCCACAUCCAGAAAUACUCAGAUGACACCACUAUUGUGGCAUGUAUCAGAAAUAGAAAAGAAGCUGAAUUCAGAGAUCUAGUAAGAGCCUUCAGUGACUGGAGUCACAAAAACGGCCUCCUCUUCAACACCUCAAAGACAAAGGAGAUGGUCAUAGACUUCCGUAGAUCCAAACCCCCUCUUCAGCCAGUGAUCACCUGUGGAGUGGAUAUCAAAGUGGUGACAUCAUAUAAAUACCUAGGUGUACAUCUGGAUAAUAAGUUGGAUUGUUCUAAGAAUAUAGACUUCAUCUACAGAAAGGGGCAGAGCCGCCUCUUUUGCCUGAGAAGACUCUGUAGUAAGAUGCUGCAGAUGUUUUAUCAGUCUGUAGUGGCAAGUGUGCUGUUCUAAGCUGCAGUCUGCUGGGGAGGAAGCAUCAUACACAAAGAUGCAAGACAUCUUAACAAACUGGUGAAAAAGGCUGGCUCUGUGGUUGGACUCAAGCUGGACUCAGUGGAGGAGGUGGUGGAGAGAUCUACACUGAGGAAGGUGGAGACUAUUCUCAAGAACAUGGAUCACCCACUACACAACACCUUGAUGGACCAAAGGGCCAAUGGUGGUGGACGGCUCCUCUCUCUUUGCUGCAGGACAGAAAGAUUCGGAAGAUCUUUUGUACCAACAAGUGUGCUGUUCUACGCUGCAGUCUGCUGGGGAGGAAGCAUCAUACACAAAGAUGCAAGACGUCUUAACAAACUGGUGAAAAAGGCUGGCUCUGUGGUUGGACUCAAGCUGGACUCAGUGGAGGAGGUGGUGGAGAGAUUUACACUGAGGAAGGUGGAGACUAUUCUCAAGAACAUGGAUCCCCACAUGACUGUGACUACGGGCCAGGUUAGGAGACAGCUGGAGAGGCUCCACCAGAGGAAGGCAGCAAGACCUGAUGGCAUCAGCCCUAGGAUCCUGAGGACCUGCGCCAGCCAGCUGUCUGCUGUCAUCCAACACCUCUACAACCUGAGCCUGAGUCAAGAGAAAGUCCCAGUGCUGUGGAAGACGUCCUGUCUCGUUCCUGUCCCAAAGAAGUCGACUCCAUCUGACCUCAAUGACUACCGACCAGUUGCCCUCACUUCCCAUCUGAUGAAGGUGCUGGAGAGAUUGGUCUUGGCCCACCUGAGGCUGCAGGUGAAGGAGCUCUUAGACCCUCUACAGUUUGCCUACCAGCCCCAUUUGGGAGUCGACGAUGCUGUCAUCUACCUGCUGCAACGAGUUCAUCUGCAUCUGGAUGGUGGUGGCAGCACUGUGAUUUCACUGUGACUUCUUUGAUUUCUCCAGUGCUUUCAACACCAUCCAGCCACUGCUGCUGGGUGAGAAGCUGCGGGUGAUGGGUGUCGACACCUCCAUUGUCUCCUGGAUCACCGACUACCUGACGGACAGGCCACAGUUUGUCCGUCUGGGUAGUGUUCUGUCUGACGUGGUGGUCAGUGAUGCAGGAGCUCCACAGGGGACUGUGCUGUCCCCUUUCCUUUUCACCUUGUACACCACUGACUUUCAGUACAACUCCGAGUCAUGCCACCUGCAGAAAUUUUCUGAUGACUCGGCUGUUGUUGGGUGUAUAAGCAGGGGAAGGGAUGGGGAGUACAGAGCAGUGGUGGAUAACUUUGUGGAGUGGGCUGGACGCAAUCACCUGAGGCUGAAUGUCACCAAGACCAGAGAGAUGGUCAUCGACUUCAGGAAGAAGAGGAGGGCUUCACAGCCACUUUGCAUCCUGGGAGAAGAUGUGGAGGAGUUGGAGGUAUAGUCCAUUUUUUAAAAAUCCUACCACAUCACAUUACUGAGCACCUUAAGUUGUCUGUAUAUCUAUCACCCCAGCUGUAAUAUUUCGCAUUUCAUAUUUAUUACUCAUUUCAAUAGCCCACAUUCUUCAUAUCUCACUUUUAUCUCUUAGGAUGUUUAGUAUAUUUAGUCUGUAUUUAUUGUAUAUACUUAGUAUUUUUAGUAUUUUUAGUCUGCAUUGUACUUACUUCUACUUAUAUUUAAUGUUAUUUUGUAUUUUCUUUUGCUGCUGUAACAAGAGAAUUUCCCAGUUUGGGAUCAAUAAAGUCUUUUAUUAAUUUAUUAGAAGUAAUAUUAAUAAUAUUACUUCUAUUACUAUUACUACUAUUAUUAUUACAUUUUCUACUAUUACUAUUACUUGUACUUCUAGUACUUUUACUACUUUUACUACACUGUUACUACUAUAACUACUACUACUUCUUUUACUACUAUUAUCAUUACAUUUACUACUUUUACUAUUACUUCUAUUUCUUUUACUAUUACUUUUAUUAUUAUUAUUAUUAUUAUUAUUAUUAUUAUUAUUAUUAUUAUUAUUAUUUUAUUUUAUGUACGGUAAAUUUAGCACAGUUUUAGUUGGUACACCAGAGCUCACUGAAGACCAAAAUUAGUCUCCUGUACUUUGCCUCAUAGUUACAACAGAGUUACACUGAGUCUGAGGACAAAAUUAUCACAAAACCCCAUCUGAGUCCAUCCUUACCUUUCUACAGGAUUAGUGUGUAGCCAGGUCUUUAAGCUGAGAAGUCUAUACUCUAGAGUCCCUUUCUACUGUGGGGGAAAAAGGUGAUGGUUUCAUCACCCUCAACUGCAUGCAGCUCAAACUCAGCCAGUGAUGGACCAUAGCAAGAAGGUAAUUAACUGCCACUCAGAAGCAGCCAACUACGGCUUUGUAGCAACUACAAGCCACUCAAUAAACUCUGUUGCAGCCGACUGCAGCGAGGUAAAAACCCACUGUGACUUUCCUUCCCUCAGCAGAUCUUGCUGCUGGUGGAUUUGGGGUUCUGUUUGGGUUUGUAGCAUCUAAAUAUGGAGUCGUGUUUGAGGUUUCAGUAUCACUCAGCUGUGAUUGACUCUCCAUGACUGUGGUGUCAGAGGCAGCCUUCACUGGCUGCUAUCAGAGUGUGAGCAGAGCUGGAAGAGUAAACCUGUAAACCUUUAACCUUUGACAAACUGCUGAUCGACAGAGUCAUGAUUUCUGUUUCUACCCUCCAGGCUGAAGAACUGACCCACCAUCACAGAUAAAUAACACAAACUUCUAAAAACUGAGUUUACAAAAGAAUCAGAAACCCUGGGUCUGAUUCAGAUCUUUAUUUUUCUGUCAGAGAGAAAAUAAGACAGAGACUCUAAGAGCCACCAUGUGACAGAAAGGUUAAGACCACACACACACACACACAAACACACACACUCCCUCCCUCCAUAACCAUGGCAACAGUCAUAUCAACAGGGCAGCCCCGCUGAAGAGAGAGAGGAAACAAAAGAACACUGCAAGACAACAACCCCUCCUCACUAUGCCACAUGAAACCGUACUGAACAAUAAACUAAGCUCCUGAGUGACGGUGUGUGUGUGUGUGUGUGUGUGUGUGUGUGUGUGUGUGUGUGUGUGUGUGUGUGUGUGUGUGUGUGUGUGUGUGUGUGCGUGCGUGUGUGUGUGUGUAUGUGUGUAGGGAGGGGCAUUUGUCAGAGUUGGCCUGUCCUCUGAACAAACGGUCAGCAGCUACAUAGAGACAAAGAGACAGAGUCUGAUGGUCCAGUUUGUACUCAAUCAGCAAAGCUGACAGCUGCUGCUCACAGAGGAUCAUGUUGGAUGAUCAUAUUUAAUUGUCAUGUUUAAUGAUCAUAUUGGAUGACCAUAUUUAAUGAUCAUUUUGGAUGAUCAUGUUUAAUAAUCAUGUUAGAUGAUCAUGUUGGAUGAUCAUGUUGGUGCAGUCAAUGUCUCAAAAAGGACUUUCUGAAUCUCUCAGGUGUGUCUUUGUCAUGAGUCGCACACACUUCUUUUUUCUGCAUCCCUCUUUUUUUGUUCCUUUCUCUCUCUUUUCCUAUCUUCCUCUCUCUUUCUCUCACUCUCUUUUACUGACUGUGUCACAGCUGAAGAAAAGCUCAGUUUUUAUGUAAGUGUGUAUGUGAACAGAUCUGACCCUCCACACCGCCACCAUGAAGUGCACAUUUAAGGUCUCAAUUAUCUGUAAAAAAAAUAGAACAUGACUGCGCACAGACCUCAUAAACCCUUAUUGACUCUCAUAAACUCUAAUUGACUCUUGUUAGCUCUCAUGAACUCUCAUUGAAUCCCAAGAACUCCCAUUAUUUCUCAUUGACUCUUUUAAACCCUUAUUGACUCUCAUAAACUCUCAACGACUCUCAUAUAAACACUCUAACUCUCAUUAACCUUCAUUGACUCUCAGAAACACUCAUUGACUCUCAUAAACACUGAUCUCAUAAACCCUCAUUGACACUUAUAAACCCUCAUUGACUCUCAUAAAUACUAUGAAUCUCAAGAAUUCUCAUUGAGUCUCAUAAACACUCUGACUCUCAUAAACCCUCAUUGACGCUCAUAAACACCCUUAUUGACUAUCAUAGACUCUCAUUGACUCCCAUAUACAAUCCGACUCUCAUUAACCCUCAUUGACUCUCAUAAACACUGACUCUCAUGAAUUCUCUUGACUCUCAUAAACACCCUGACUCUCAAAAACCCUCACUGACUCUCAUAAACCCUUAUUGACUAUCAUAGACUCUCAUAAACACUUUGACUCUCAUGAAUUCUCAUUGACUCUUAUGAACCCUCAUUGGCUCUCAUAAACUCUUAUUGAUUCUCAGUAAAUCUGUAAAUUACUCUCUAAUGUCAAAUGACCUUUUUAAUAAGGAAUGAUUACAGGGAUAUCUUAUUCCCGCACAUGCCUCUUCAUUUUCUGUCAGAAAUGAUCGAUCCUGAACUCUCCUGAUGAUGUUUUUAUACAGCCAAACACCUAGAUGAUAAGUCAUCUACGGUCUGACCUUGGCUUAGUUUUUCAGGAGAUAUGAGACUGACAGCAGAAGCUCAGAUUGGUCACAUCUGAAGAUCUUUCAUCCUCAUCUGUCUUUUUUAGGUUUGUCUCAUCAUGAGUGUCCCCUCACAGUAAAGGGACAUCCAUGAGGAGACAUGUGCUGAAAGUUUUUAAAGGACAGUUUCAGGUUUUAUGGAGGUUUGAAGAGUCCAAAGAGCAGCACAGCUGUUUGGUCCAGCCUCAGCUCUUAUUUUAUCAGCUACAGUCUGAGGAUCAUCCGUCCUCUGAGAGUGAGGAUUAGACACCUCCAGCCCAUCCCUUCUGUAGGGGUCAGAGUAACACCUGGGGGUCCUCAGGAGGAGCUGAUGAUGAUCUGCAGAGGAACGUCUGGGAUCAGUUAAAGCUGCUGUUUGUAAAGCUGACCUCUACUGAAGGAGGUUUCUUUUCCUCUCCAGAGGGAAAUCCACCUUCACAUAUUCAGUUUUUUGUCAGUCCAGGAUGUGGAGGAGUCUCAGUUUGGUCCUGUGUGAAACUUAGUUUCAGACUCAGUGAUCCUCUCAUUCAGAGGAUGGAUGUAUGGAUGUGAGAAAACUGAGCAUGCUCAGUGACACUGACAUUAGCUGGAUGAGACAGCUCAGUUUGAUUUGUAUCUCUUCCUUUUGUAAUAAAUGUUCACCUCAUUAAGGUUAUUGUCUAUUUUCCUUCUCCUUCCCAAGUCUUGUGGUCCUGGCAGGACUAAAAUCGUACUCAGACCUGGUCCAACUUUGGUGUAACCCUCUACCGAGGCUUUUAAAUUUUUUUAAGUGUAUACUGAAUAUUCUGCAAAAAGCAACACCUGGUGGUGGUUUGAGGUAAGGUCUUGGACAUGUUUUCAUUAGUUUACUUUUCUGGUAAUUAAACUGAAAAGUAUUAAGGACUUUAAACCAGCAGAAACAGGCAAACACACUCUGGCAUGUUUACAGCUAAAUAAGUAUGAUUGUGUUACUUUGUUCAUACUGUUACUGCCUGGCUGAAGACAGAUAACAAGAAGGGAGGCAACACUCAACAAUAACCAUUAACCAAGAUAUUUUAUUUAACAAAGAUGAUUAUCAAUCAGUAUGAGGUGUCAGGAUUAAGAUCAGUAGUGUCAGCAAGUGUUGGAUGUGUGAGCAUGUGUGUGGUGGAUGUUGUAAGAUGAACAUACCCAAAAUGGUGGUGGCUGGUGUGGUAGAUGCAGGCCCUGCCAUGAUAGAGAGCUAAAGCUUUUCAGCCGAGAUUGAGAUUGAGAUUUGAUUUAUUGGUCCCCUUGGGGAAAUUCAUCUUCACUGACUGUACAUUAUGGGAAAGACAACGACAUUGCACAUUACAAACAUCAACAAACAGUAAGGACAGACAUAAAUAGUGUGGGACAGUUACAACAGCAAAAGGUGACAGGCUGGUCAGAUAGGUCAGCGGGGCCUGCUGUUGAGGGCGGCAAUAGCUGCAGGGAUCAGGCUUUUCCCAAGACGGGCCCUCCUGAAUUUUAGUGUUCUGUAUCUGCGCCCAGAGGGUAGUGGAAUGAUGUGUCGGUGUAAUGGGUGAGUGAUGUCCUGGACUAAUGUGUUUGCCAGUCAAGUGAUGGACCUGUUAUUUAAUUUUGUAAGGUUGGGUGUGGGGAGGCCAAUGAUUUUAGCAACUGUGUUUGUGAGGUGUGACAGUUUGGCCCGGUUGGUGACAAAUAGCAUGGUGUAAAAACAUGUAGAGCAGUACAGAAGGAUGGGUUGUAUAAUGCUUUUGUAGAGUAACAACAGAAGAUGAGGUGCAACAUAUAGUCCACAGAUGGCUAAGUUUGCAGAUGGCUGACGGUCUUUGUUGGCUCCUUUUUUGAAUGUCCGUGGUGUGCUGAUCAAAGGUGAGUUUAUUGUCCAGAGUUAUUCCAAGAUAUUUAAAAGUGUCGACUGUCUCGACUGUGCCCGCCCUGAUCUCGACUAUGCCCAACUAUGCGGAGCGCAGGUGGAAAAAGGACAGACUGCAUGUGUCUCUUGGCAUCUUUAAAGAUAGCCUUUGGAAUUAUCAGAAAAUUGUGAAAGCCGAGAAGAAUAAAUACUUCUCAGAAUUAAUUGCUUUUAACUGUAACAACCCCAGAGCUCUGUUCAAAACCACAAACACUGUCCUUGAGGCUCCCAAGUCUCUUGGUUUUGAUGCCUCCACUGAAAUUUGUGAAAAAUUCCUCCACUUCUUCACUGAUAAAAUUAUGUCAACCAGAGCCUGUGUCUCUCAACCUUCGUAUGAUCCUUCAGCCCCUCUGCACCCCUCAUCUGUCUUUGCCAAAUUUGAGUCUGUGUCCCUCUCUAUUUUUAAGGACAUAGUCAGCCAUAUGAAGCCUUCUGGUUCCCCUGCAGAUGCCAUCCCCCCUCGCUUGUUUAAAGAAGUACUUGCCACUAUUGGACCAAGUGUCCUUAAUAUUGUUAACAGUAGCCUCUCCUCUGGUACAGUACCUAAGGAUUUUAAACAUGCUGUAGUACGACCUCUACUUAAAAAAACUGGCCUUGACAUAUCCCUCUGUGCCAGUUUCAGACCCAUCUCAAAUCUUCCAUAUCUGUCCAAGAUUCUAGAGAAGGUGGUCUACAAUCAAUUGUUGCCAUUUUUUGGAAGAUUAUGGUAUCACAGAGUUGUUCCAGUCUGGUUUUAAAGCUCUCCAUAGCACAGAGUCAGCGCUUUUAAAGGUGUCUAAUGAUAUUCUCAUGUCAACAGACUCUGGAAAGUUUGUUGUCCUUGUGCUCCUAGAUCUGUCUGCUGCAUUUGACACUGUUGACCACAGCAUUUUAAUCUCUCGCCUGGAGCACUGUGUGGGCAUUAAGGGUGUCGCCCUGGACUGGUUCCGGUUGUACUUAACGGACAGAAGUUUCUUUGUUCAACUUGACAACUCUGUGUCGUCAACAGCUCCCCUCCCACAUGGGGUCCCCCAGGGCUCAAUCCUCAGCCCUCUUUUAUUUGCCUUUUAUCUACUCCCCCUUGGUUCUGUUUUUAGGAAACAUGGCAUCUCCUUUCAUUUUAAUGCUGAUGAUUGCCAGAUCUAUUUUCCACUGGCACAGAACAACUCCGACUCAGUCCAACAACUUACUGACUGCCUUAAGGACAUUAAAGCCUGGCUUUCUUUUAACUUCCUCAGCCUUAAUGAGAACAAGACUGAAGUAAUGAUGUUUGGACCAAGUGGCAGCCACCCCCCCAACAUCAACCUAUGCUCCCUCUCACCCUAUCUGAAGGCUGUCGUCACUAAUCUGGGAGUUAAGUUUGACCCUGAUUUUAAAUUUGAGAAGCAGAUCAGCAGGGUGGUACAAAAAAGUUUUUAUCAGCUACGUCAAACAGCGAAGGUGAAGCCCAUUUUAUCAAGAUCUUACCUGGAAAAAUUAAUCCAUGCUUUCAUCACUACCCAUCUUGAUAACUGUAACUCUCUGUAUGUAGGGUUUAGCCAGGCUUACCUUGCCCGCCUGCAGCUUGUGCAGAACUCUGCUGCACGUCUCCUCACCCAGACCCGCAGGCGUGAGCACAUCACCCCCAUCCUGGCAUCCUUACACUGGCUCCCUGUACAGCACAGAAUUAAUUUUAAGCUUUUAAUAUUUGUUUUUAAAAGCCUGAACAAUCUUGCUCCACUUUACAUCUCUGAGAUGCUCCAGCCUUAUUGCCCACCCUGACCCCUAAGAUCAGCCGAUCAGCUGCUACUGACGGUCCCAAAUACAAGGCUGAAGCUCAGAGGGGACAGAGCGUUUGCUGCUGCUGCCCCGAAGCUCUAGAAUGAGUUGCCCCUGAAAAUCAGACAGGCCUUCUCAUUUCCUGUUUUUAAAUCCCUUUUAAAAACGCACUUUUACUCCUUGGCUUUUGAUACUUUUUAGUGUUAUUUUGUUUUUUAUCAUCUUAGCACUUGCCAUGAGCCUGCUUAUUAAUUUACUUAUUUAUUCCUUUGCAUUAAUGUAUUUCUGCUCGCUUUAUCUUGUGCUUUGACUGUGUUAUUUGUUUUUAUGUGUCAUUGUACAGCACUUUGGCUACCCUUGUGGUUAUUUUAAAUGUGCUAUAGAAAUAAAGUUGAUUGAUUGAUUGAUUGAUUGAUUGACUGAUUGUGCGUUUAUGAUGAUGGGAUCCUUGGGUGAGGGGGGGCUGAAACAUAAUUCUUUUGUUUUAUUGACGUUGAUCUCCAGGUCUGUGCAUAGCUUGGUGAAGUGGGUGAGUGUGUUGUGGUAGUCCAGAAUGGAUUGAUUGUCAGACAGGAGUGCAAGAAUGGCUGUGUCAUCUGAGUAUUUAAGAUGUGUCGUGGUGGGUGAGAUGCUGCGGCAGUCAUUGGUGUAAAGUACGUACAGGAAUGGGCUCAACACACAUCCCUGUGGGACCCCGGUGUUGAUGGUGAGUGCAGGGGAUGUGGUUGAGCCCACCCUUACUGCUUGUAGUCUGUCGGUGAGGAAGUUGUGGGUGAGGUGGAUCAGCUGAGGGGGGAUGUUGAGAUUGUGUAGUUUCUGGAUCAGUAGGUGCUUCUGUAUGGAGAUGAAGGCGGAGCUGAAGUCCACGAAGAGGAUCCUGGCGAAGUUGCCUGGGGAGUCCAGAUGCUGGAGGAGGAGGUGCAGCAGGCUGGCCACAGCGUCCUCGGUGCCCCUCCUUGCCUUGUAGGCAAAUUGGAGGGGGUCCAGAUGUGGAGUGACAAGUGGAAGGAUGAUGUUCAGCAGUAGUUUCUUCAGGCACUUCAUUAUUAUGGAUGUGAGGGCUAUGGGGCGGUAGUGGUUGAGUUCUGUAGGUCUGGGUUUUUUCGGUACUGGAAUUAUGGUUGCAGUUUUCCAUAGUGUGGGAAUUGUGGCAGUCCAGUAUGAUUGGCAGAAGAGUAAGUGAAGGAUAGGGGCGAGUUCCAUGGCACAGUUCUUGAUCACCCUGGCUGGAAUGCCAUCGGGCCCUGGGGCUUUGCCUGCCUUACAUUGGCUCAGCUGGCGCCGUACCUCCUCCUCAGUGAAGGGGGCCGGUUCUUCAGGGUCUGGUGGUGGGAGGGCUCUCAGUAGAUCCUGACACUCCGAUGAGAAAUCAUGCCUGUCGAAACGGGUGUAGAAAGUGUUUAGGCCCUUGGUGAAUGUUUCAGGGUUACUGACUGUACAUGUGGAUUUGGGUUUACACCCAGUCAGGGUUUUCACCUUCUGAAAGGCUUGCUUGGUGUUCAUGGUGCUGAAUUCUAUUUCCAGUUUGUUUUUAUAGUCCAGUUUGGCUUUUAACACCUCGUUCUCCAGAGUCCUAUUUGUUGCCUUGAGGCUGGUCCAGUCCUUGUGCCUGAAGGAUUUAUGUUUUUCCCUCAGGCUCUGUUUUAACUGUGGGGUAAUCCAUGGUUUAGAGUUGGGAUAGAUCUUUAUUGUUUUGGUUGGGAUUGUGGAGCUUAUGCAGAAUUUGAUGUAGUCUGUAAUGAUAGAGACCUUGUCAUCUAGACUGCCAUCAAAAAUGUCCCAGUCGGUGCAGGCUAAGGAGCCUUGGAGUUGUGUGAUGGCAUCCUCCGUCCACUGGGGGGCACUGCUGCACUGUGGUUUGUGGCGCUUUAGUUCCUGUUUGUAGAGCAGAAGUAAACAGAUGACGUUGUGGUCAGCAGCUCCAAGCGGUGGAUUUGAACGGGCACAGAAGGCAUCGGCGAUGUUCCCGUAACAUAAAUCCAAUAUGUUUACCCUUCUUGUUGGAAUAUCCACAAACUGCUGGAAUGAUGGUAAUACACUGUCCAGUCUGCAUCCGUUAUAGUCCCCCAGAAUAAGCAGCGGAGUGCCAGGGUACCGGACCAGCAUGGCAUUGGCAUCCUCGGCUAUUAGCUCCGCUGCCAUGUUGAUGUUGGCACUGGGGGCUACAUAGACACAGCUGACCACAACCGUUGGAAAUUCCCGGGGGAGAUAGAAAGCACAAAGGGACAGGGUCAGCAACUCCAGGUUGGGUGUGCAUACUUUACGGUGCACUUUGAUGUUAUUACACCACCUGUCAUUGAUGUAAAGGCAGACCCCCCCGCCUCGCGUCUUCCCUGAGUGUCUCGUCCUGUCGGACCUGAUGAUCGUGAAGUUUUCCAGGCUCACCUCAGAGUCAGGAACUGACUCAUCCAACCAGGUCUCGCAAAGAGCAACGAUACAGAUGUCCCUGAAGGCCCUUUCAAAUAGGCACCUUGCGUGCAGUAGAUCCAUCUUGUUACGGAGUGAUCGUACAUUGGACAUGAUGAUGGUGGGGAGGGGAGGUUUGAAGGGACGUCUCCUUACCCGGCUUCGGAUACCUCCACGCUUUCCCCUUUUCUUCGGCCGAAGCUGCGGUGGUAGGACCACAGCAGGCUUGGUGUUACUCCACAGUGAGGCUCGAUGUAACAGGAGUUCAUCUCGGCUGUAGGUGAGUAGCCGGUUGCCGGUGUCGGGCUGUCGUGUGAGGCUGUCGCAGAUCAGCCAUAGUAUUGCGAGAAAAACAGUGAUCACUUUGUAGCUUAUCAUGGCUGAUCAGUCUGGUUUAGCCCAUGUACAGUGUGAAAAUUUCACAGUAUAAGCACAUAAAAAAGAAAACACGCACGUAGAAAACACUAAACACAGAAGACACGGUGUACAGUCAGUGCUGUCGCAGCAGAGCGUGCACCAUCUUGUAAAACUGGCUUCAUAUGCUGUUUUUACUCCAGACUUUUUAUGCUUUCUGGCCCUGCCCUGUUGGGCAGGUAAUUCAGCCCCUCCCAGCUCCACCCUCCACCAUCUCCCUGAGGCUGCAACACAGAUAAUAAUAAUAUUUAACACUGUUCUUGUGCAUAGCCAAUCUGGUAUGAAGAUGAACAUAAUUUAUUCUACAACCUGCAUAUGGUUCUCCCUUGAACACCAGACCACCAACUCGGCAACCUCGGUACCUAAGGAAGCAGUUUAAGAGAGGGACAGCCAACAUGGACAGGGAGAUACACCUCAGGGAGAACACUUCCUACACAGACAUGGCACGAGACAUGGCAUCAGCCAUUGUGUUCUCAACCCCCUUUACAUGCCAAACCUCUAAAUUUAAUGGCUGGUGGAAAAGACAUCAGCGCAUAAGUCGCUGAUUUGGAUUCUGCAGAGAGUGGAGAAAAGUGAGAGGAUUGUGGUCAGUGUACACCACUAAUGGUGACACGCCUCCACCAACAUAAACUUCAAAAUGCUUCAAUGCCCAAAUGAGAGCCAGUGCCUCUUUUUCAAUGAUAGAAAAGUUCAACUGGUGUAAGUUGAACUUUCUAGAAAAGUAACUUACACCCUUGUCGUCGGCUUGCAUGAGUACUGCACCAGCUCCAACCUUGCUAGCAUCCACAUACAAUACAAAUGGCCGGUCCAUCUGUGGAGCAACUAAGACAGGGGCAGAACACAACAAAGUCUUGACAGAUUCAAAUGCAUUUUGACAAACUGUAGACCACUCAAACUUCACCUUUGUGCUAAGGAGCGAAGUAAGUGGAGCAGCUACAGUGGAGAAAUCCUUGCAAAACCCACGAUAGUGACCCACCAUACCGAGGAAGUGAGAGAGCUCUUUUUUGGUUGUUGGAACUGGAAACUGAUCAACAGCCAAAACCUUUGCUCUCACAGGACGUACCAAACCCUGGCCAACCACUUAUAUGUGACACCAGAUAUGUGACUGUUGCCUUGGCAAACUCACAUUUUGCAAGGUUAAUCGUCAAUGAUGCCCAAGCCAGUCGGUCAAACAGUGCCCUGACGUGCUUCAGGUGAUCGUGCCAUGUAUCACUGUAAACAACAACAUCAUCCAGAUAUACAGCACACCCUUCCAGACCUGAAACCACCUUGUUCAUUAGGCGCUGGACGGUGGCUGGAGCAUUGCGCACCCCAAAAGGCAUACCAGUGUACGAAUACAAACCACUAGGUGUUAUAAAUGCUGCAAUCUCCCUAGCUCUAGGGGUCAAAGGGACCUACCAAUAACCUUUUAAUAGGUCAAAUUUUCUGACAAAUUUAGCAGACCCAACCUGAUCCACGCAAUCUUCCAUGCGGGAGAGUGGAAAAGAAUCAGGUUUGGUUAUUUUAUUCACCUUACACAGAUCUGCACAUGGUCUAAAGGUACCAUCAGGUUUAUUCACAAGAAGGUAUGGUGAUGACCAGCUCGAAGAACAAGGCUCUGCAAUGCCAUUUUCCAACAUGUAUUUAACUUCUCCCUCUAGGUAUUCACACUCGUUUGGAGAAAUGCGAUAAAAACGCUGUCUGAUUGGCUGAGAGUCACCUACAUCAAUGUCGUGCUCAAUCAGAUGAGUACGAGAUGGAGUCAAUCAAUCAAUCAAUCAAAUUUUAUUUAUAUAGCGCCAAUUCACAACAGUCGUCAUCUCAAGACGCUUUUCAAGGAACAAGAGCAGGUCUAGACCACGCUCAUUGUUUGAUGAUAAAGAACCAACCUAAGAUGGGUUUUGGCCCAUCUCAACUAACAUGAGUAGCAAUGGCAAGGAAAAACUUCCUUUUCACAGGCAGAAACCUUGGGCAGGACCAGCCUCAUGUUAGACAGUCACCAUGCCGCUGCUGGGGUUGGGGAGGAAUGUAGAGAGAAGAGGGGAGAGGGGAGAGGACAGGGGGAGAGAGAGAGAGAGAACAAGAUAAGGGAAGGCGAGAGAGAAUGGAGUGUCUCCAAACAGACAGGGAUAGCUUUGGAUUAGCUCCAUCAAGUCUUUUUUCUUUGCGGGGGAUAAGUGUUUUAACAUCUCAUCAAGAUUAGCAAGUGACUCUGAAUUCUUGAGACGACCUCUCAAAAUUCCAUCAUCUGGACUUUCCAAUCCCUCCUCACUCUCUGCUACUGGACCUAGAGGAGGAGGAGAGAGAUCUGCUGCAGCCACAGCAGCCACAGAGGAAAGGGACUGUUCCAAAACAGUAGGACGAGCAUAAUAUGGCUUCAGCAAGUUAAUGUGACACAACUGCUUAGACCUCGUCCUGUCAGGAGUUGAGAUUAAAUAGUUAAAAUCAGACACUUUACGGGCAACUGUAUACAGGCCUGAGAACUUAGCUUGAAAAGGAGAACAAGCCACAGGCAAAAGAGCAAGAACUUGAUCUCCAGGGCUAAACUCUCUGCUCUCACUAGGACAAACAUAAAGUAUCUUCAUUUUAGUCUGAGCCGAACUGAGCUUUUCCCUUGCCAACUUAUUUGCCCGAUACAGCCGUUGUCUGAAACCUUUCACAUAAUCUACUAAGUUUUUAGGGGCUUCUUCGAUCUUCCAGUCACUCUGUAAGGAGGCUAAUGGGCCUUGUACCGUGUCACCAAAAACCAGGUCAUUAGGUCUAAAACCUAAACUCUCCUGAGAAACCUCCCUAGCAGCUAACAACAACCAGGGUAACCCUUCCUGCCAGUCACGGUCUAACUCUGUGCAAUAGGCACGAAGAAGAGACUUGAGGGUUUGAUAAAACCUCUCCAGAGCUCCUUGACUCUGGGGAUGGUAAGCAGUCGACUGGGAGUGUUUGUUUAGCACCUUUGUAAACAUUUUUGAGCAGAAAUUAGAACCUUGAUCAGACUGUAUCACUUUUUGGGACACCAAAGAUGGAAAUAAAUUGUGUCAAAGCCUUUACAACUGACUUGGUUGUAAUAUUUCUGAGUGGGUAGGCAGCUGGAUAGCGGGUAGCCUGACACAUUACUGUAAGCAAAAAUUGGCUACCAGCUUUGGAACGUGGCAAGGGGCCAACACAAUCAAUGAGAAGGUGCUCAAAUGGCUGAUCAACAGCAGGAAUUUGAAUUUGGCCCCACUUUAUGGUUUGGUUGGGCUUCCCAGUCAGCUGGCAUAUGUGACAUGUUUUAACAAAGGCAGAAACAUCCCUCUUUACCUUAGGCCAGUAGAAAUGUUUCAAAAUCCUUUCAUAGGUUUUCUUUACUCCGAAAUGACCUGCUACUCCAUCAUGAGCAACCUUCAGCACAGUCUGUCAUACCGAAGCAGGUACCACAACUUGCAACACUUCCUGACCCAAAAAACAGUCCCCCUGAGGAACCCGCUUUCUCACCAACAAGCCAUCCUGGAGAAAGUAACCAUGGGCGGCACUCUCCACGUCAUCUUCUGGGAGCACUUGACUAUAAAGAGUCUGAAGUGUUGAAUCCCUUCUUUGCUCUUUCGCCAACUCACUGGAAGAAAUAGGCAAAGGGAAAACAGGCAGUGGAAAUACAGACACACUUUCCUUAUCGGGUUUGUCAUGGCCAGAACCACCUGCAUGGCACAUAGCACGUGUCGCUACACAGGUAGGAAGUGCCCUUAUAGAAGAGAUCGGAGACUCCAAAACCUCACCCUGGGUGAGAGAAACCACCUGAGCAGGAGAAUCAGGCCACACCUGAGCACCAGCUAAAUCAUUGCCAAGAAUGACAUGUAUCCCUGCCAUGGGUAAAGCAGGGCGUACUGCCAUUACUACCUCCCCCUUCACAAGGUCUGAGAAUAAAGUCAAUCUAUGCUGUUGAGAGGAAAAAACUGUCAGACCCAUGCUCAGCUAUCUGCAAAAGCUGUUCCUUUUUAUACGUGUUAAGCAACCCUUCACUAGGAGACAGAACAAAAUUCUCAAUUAUUUGUUAUCUAUUAUUUAUGGGCAGUACAUAUAUUAACCUGUGCUCUCAUAAAGCCUAACACACCAGAGAAGACAAGGCACAAAACAAAGUUUCUCACACUGCUAAUGAGAUGUAAGGCUGUUUAAACAUGGGACCAUAUUCCUCUAACUAACUGCCUAACCAGUACUAGCUGUCUCACUCACCCCUAGUCUUCAUGCAGGUUAGCGGCGGGAUAGAUUAAGCACCAAGCCCAGUAACCCGGUUGACUCUAAGAAAGCUAGCAGCCACCUAGACAGUUAUGGAGUGCCCCCGAGCAUCAGCUCUAACCACUUUGCUGCACGAAAAUAACAAACUAAAACAAAAAAAGGGUCAAUGUGGGCAUCUGGUGUCCCUCAUUGCUAAAACCUGACAGGAAUAUGGGUUUCCAAAUGACGACACAGCCUUCCCCCACCAGCAUAUUAGAAACAAACACCAACAGGCCAUCAAACUACAAAAAGGACUAGGUCAGUAAUUGUGUGAAACACCUCCCUUUCAAACUUAACCUGGUUUCUCAGCCCUAACUUCUCCUGGGAAAUAAAACCAGGAUCCUGGACGAGCCCCCAUUUGUUACUGCCUGGCUGAAGGCAGAUAACAAGAAGGGAGGCAACACUCAACAAUAACUAUUAACCAAGAUAUUUUAUUUAACAAAGAUGAUUAUCAAUCAGUAUGAGGCGUCAGGAUUAAGAUCAGUAGUGUCAGCAAGUGUUGGAUGUGUGAGCAUGUGUGUGGUGGAUGUUGUAAGAUGAACAAACCAAAAAUGGUGGUGGCUGGUGUGGUAGAUGCAGGCCCUGCUGUGAGAGAGAGCUAAAGCUUUUCAGCCAGGCCUUUUUUGCUUUCUGGCCCUGCCCUGCUGGGCAGGUAAUUCAGCCCCUCCCAGCUCCACCCUCCACCAUCUCCCUGAGGCUGCAACACAGAGCAGAAUCAGACACAUGCAAGGGGAGAAAGCAGAGGAGGAGCGGGAGGGGUUUGACACAAUACACAGAAUAAGCCUCAAUAUCAGGAAGUUAUGACACACACACACACACACACACACAAACCCUAAGCUGUAGGAACAGAUCUGACAGCAGCUUCAUGUAAAUGUUAAAAAGAUAAAUGUUUUUAUAAAAUAAAACCAGUUCAGAUUUCUAUAUGACCCUGUACAAAACCAAAUUUCAUUGAGGUUGGGAAAUAUGGAGGACUAAAAGUGCCAAAAUUCAAUAAAUAAAAACAUCAAUAAAUAAAUACUUAUAUGUACUAUUAAACAAUUAAAAGUGUCAAUAAAUGCAUAAAUGUAUCAUUAAAAGUGUCGAUAAAUAAAAGUGUCAAUAAAUAGAUAAAAGCAUCAAUAAAUAAUUAAAAGUGUCAAUAAAUAAUUUAAAUACAGUUUCAUGAAAGACAUAUUUAUUUCACGAAAGACAUAUUUAUUUCAUGGUCCGUGUUGCGUGCAUCAUGAAAUAAUUUUAUCUGUCAAACUUACUCGUCAAAGUCAGUGGGCGGGGCUAACGCGAAUCCAGUCUGAUCUGUUGCUUUGGUCUGGUCUGAAGUAGCUGGGAGAGCGACAUGGAGGAACUCCAGGGACUCUCGAGGGAGUUGGAGAGAGGUCUUUUACAGCUAGCAGAGGGAAUGGAAGCGGGACAUGCCGACCCAGAGCAUGUGGAAGAUAAAAUUGAAGAAUUUAUCGAGGCUGUUGGACUAAUUUCUGCACUUGCCAACCAGGACAUGGACAACAGGGUGACAGCAAACUUAAAGGAAGAACUUCACCGUUUCUCUCCGAGGGCGCAACAGGCAGCACGAAUACAGGGACCGGGGCGUUGGGCAUUUGACAUACCAAUUGCAGUUCUUGAGCACCAUGUUCUUUGUGGAUUGCCUGUUUAGUGUGUCAAAGAGGACCAUUAGGAGGCGCAUGGAACAAUACGGCUUAAGGUAUUGACACUAAAUCCAUUACUCGUCAGUUUAUGAAUUGCUUAAUAGACCUUUUGGUAGGCUCCGCCCACCAUCCUCUCCCCCAUAGUUACAGUUGCUAUGCAGGGACAAGCUUUGCACAACCGGCGUUCAAAACAAUGGCGGCGCCCCUACUUUGCACAUGAAAAUGAAGGCUAUACCUGAUGUUUUAAUUAAUGAAUUUUUGAGAAAAAGCUCAAAUAUCUCACAGAAAUCGUACCAACAAGGCCUGCAAUAUGCAGUGGAAGAAUAUGUGCACAAUACUCAGGUUUCUAUGAACAAAAUAGAAGCCAAAGUGUAUCGCUCUCAAAGAAAGAAUGAGAAACCACAUCUCCUGGUUAUUUCCUAUGUCUGCGACAGUAUCACCGGACAGGAGUGUUCGUGUAUCGUAGGGUAAGUUCUACACAACUUUUAAGUACCUAGUUACUAGAUAAACAUAAUGAGGAAAUGAUUUAACUAGUGGUAUACUGCUCUGUGAUUACGUGGUGAUGUGUUGAACUUUACCAAGUGACCCAUACUUUCUGCUUUCCUACUUCAGUUGACGUUUGAGAAAUGAAUAUCUCAACAUUGGUCUACAUUAUGCUUCAUAGUAGCUAAUCUGCCUGAUUUGUAAAUACUUUCUAUGUGCUAUCAUUUGUCAUUUGCAUAGCAACUGUAACUAUGGGGGAGAGGGGGGUGGGCGGAGCCUACCGAAAGGUCUAUUGUCUCUGUGUCGUUUAAAACAACUUUUUCCCCCUAUGGUGUAGAAAAACAGACCUCUAUUCAACCAUCAAUUAUGAGGAGUUAGACCGCAUCGUAACUGAGCUUCACAGAAGACAUCCAAACACCGGCUACAAGCUCAUGCAAGGUCAUCUGGCUGCAAGAGGUGUGCGUGUUCCAGGUGAGUCUGUUACUAUGGUCAUUAUUUCAUUUAAUUUGCAAUGCAGAGCCAAUUGCAGAACAGACCUGACCCAUGAUUUUCAGGCUAAUAUUUAAUAGAGGUGUACAAUAUCUAGCUGGAUGCGCCCAGCGCCCCCCUUUUCCCCCAAUGCUGUAAGAGGUAUAUUAUGAUCAGGCUGAAAAUCACAGGCCAUGUUUGUCAUGGCAUACAGUCAGCAGUGUAAACCUGUGGCAUGCAGGAGCAGCUUGCUUUUGUCUAGUAACAGAGUGACAAUAUCUGACAGUUCAGCACAAUUUUGAGACUGGUGGUUCAUAUAGUGACAACUCCACAUCCUGUCUUGUAUUAGACAAGUGAAUGAGUAUUUUUGUUACAGUACUGGUCAAGUAGGGUGAAUAGUUGUUUUUAACGAAGUUGCCAAUGAGUGUAUAGUUAUUAUUCAUUUGAUUUCCCUUCCCUCAGUAUCAAGACUGCAACAGUCUUUACGCAGAGUCAAUGCAGAGGGAGUCUACAUGAGACGUCUAAGACUUCAUGUAUUGAAACGACGGCAGUAUUCUGUUCCUGGCCCAAACUCUUUGUGGCAUAUAGAUGGCAAUCAUAAGCUCAUCAGAUCAGUGAUCUUAGCAGAUUAACAAUACAUCUUUUCUCAGAUGUGCCAUUACUAUUGUUUUACAACAAAGUUGUGCUUUUUCAUGUGUUCAUGAUUGCUUGACAGAUGGAGAUUUGUUGUCCAUGGUGGGGUGGAUGGAUUCAGCCAUUUGGUGGUCUACCUAACUGUGGCAGGAAAUAAUAGAGCUUAUACAGUCCUUCAGAGCUUUAUUGCUGCAGUUGAGCAGUAUGGGCUGCCAUCAAGGGUACAGUCUGAUAAAGGGGUUGAGAAUGCAGAUGUAGCAGAAUUCAUGAUCAGGAGCAGAGGGACUGACAGGAAUUCACACAUCACAGGGAGAAGCGUCCAUAAUCAGUGGUAAAUAUAUGUUUGGUAGCUAUGCUCAGACGACAACCACAGCAGUUGAGUGUACAUCAUUGGCAUAGAUCUAACGUACAUUAAUACUGUCAAUUUUAUUCUUAAUACAGAAUAAAGUGGAUGUGGAUGGAUGUUUAUGAACAUGCCCUUGACCUCUUCUAUCAAAUUUUCACUUCAUAGGAAGAUCAGGGAACAUUGGAUCCAGACAAUGAAGUCCAUCUUCUUGCACUACACCGGAGCUUUCUCCCACUAAUUCAAAAAAGACUUGACUCUUUUAAAGAUGCUUGGAACUUUCAUGGUCUUAGAACUGAAAGGAAUCACUCACAACAGCAAGUCUGGAGAAGAUACAGAGAGCAAGGGCCCACGGAGGUUCCCAUUGAGGUUGGAGAAAAAUCAACUUAAAACACUUUUGUCUGUUUCCCAAAAAGUAUGGAGGAUUGUAUUUACUUCAUGUGUUACACUAUAGUGUCUACAGUCACCAAAUUAGCCAUUAAACCAUAAUUGUUGCCAUGCAUAAUAUACACAAUCAUUAUUUUUCUCAAAGGAAUAGGCAACAUUUGAUUUCUCAAUGACUUGGUUACCAAACAUAAUCUUAGAAACCAUGUGUAAUGAAAUGUCAGACUCGUUUUUAACCACAAGAUUGAUCAUGCUUGUCCUCCAUUCAGGUUUAUGAAGACUAUGGGAUCGACUGGAAUGGACCUCACAGUCUUCAUAGAGGCACUGUGUCAGUCCCCGAGAUUCAGCUGGCCCGAGAGCUCACAGACGAAGAGGUCCCCACUUUGCCAGCUCCAGGAUUGUCUGUCACUGGUGCAGUUAGAUCAUAUUUAGACACUGUGCAGGUUUUAACAAGAAUAACAGCAAACUGAUGUCCAACCCAUGCUUUUAUUUUGCCUCACAGACCAAGCAAAACUAAACUGGAAAAACUUCCUUUCCUCAGAUUUAAAAAAACAAAACAAAAACAAAACAACCAUAGUCACCACUGUGAUCUUUUAGAUGGACUUAUUCUACAUCUCAUUCUCCACAUAAUGGAUAACAAUGCUGUAAAAUUUUAAAUUGCAGAACUGUUUGUUUCUCAAAAAUGUAUGAUGAAUGAAUGAAACCUGAAUAAAACAAUGGUCAAGAACUGCGUCAGUUUAGGGUUUUAAUGAACUGCAUGCAAUGACCCAUCUGAAAAAAAAAUUUAAAUUACACAAGUCCAAAUCCACUCUGUGCACUAUUUAUGGCUGUGAAAAGUGCUUCCUCAAACUCCUCGUAGGUUUUGAAAUGAGCUGGCAGCUUCAGUGUUUUAAAGCAUGUAGAGGACGUAGGAAGACUUCCUCCAGAGAUCUCCACUCUGAGCUCAGGAGGAAGCAUCUCCCAGCCAACCCAGAAUUUCAGUAGCUUGACCAGAUACCUGAUGAGGCUAAAAGUCAUAAAACAGAUCGAAGACAACACUUAGUUUGACUCCAAUUGGUCAUCUCUAUCCAUGAAACAUUUAAAAAGAGAGCAAUACAAGAACAUUAGCAAAAUAAACGGUUUCAUACCUGUUUCAAUGAACAUCCUCGGAAAGCCAGUGAUGCGGCAUGUAGACUCUACGUCAAAGUCCUCAUCAUCACUGUCCUCAACUGGCCAUGUGAUUUUUUGCAGGAGCAUCUUUAGAAACAAAAAAAGAGAAAACAACUGGGCAUAUUUGAACUUACUUUGUUAAAGGAAUAUUCAGAUCACAUUUUUGGUAAUUGGAAAAAUAUAACAGCUCAGUCAUUGAAAAUACACAAAUUCAUACAGUGAAGUUAAAAAAAACCUGAAAUCCUGCCUUACCUGAGGUGUGAACUGCAAAUCAGCCAUUUCGGGGAAAAGAGGUGGGACUACAUCUGGUCUAGAUGUCAGAAGUGGCCAUACCAUCACAUCUUUCAGCCCCUUUCUCAACUGUUUAAUUUGGCGCAUGGUUCUCCCAAUGACCUAAAGAGACGGACCCAACAAAUAUUACAGCUGAAAUCCUCAACCUAAAUUUCAACACUCAACAGGCGUGAGAAAUGCUGUGGUUAAACUAUAAAUACCAUUCUACUUACAUAAGCUAUGCAUUAAAUGGUGGUUGUGAAAAACUUAAACAUGACAAUGGCCAAAGCAUGAAUUACACAACUAAAACCUUACCAUUUUAUCCCUGCCAGCAUUAGCUAUGAAUUGUGCCAGUUAAGUUAACCAGCAGGUUAUGUAGCCAUCUCCAAUUUGUUUUGGUGACUGCCGGGAGAUCCCAAGAUAAUGCAAGAUCUGAAACUGUCUCCUUCUGUUCUGGUGUAAGUUCUUCAUGUUCAAGCUUGAAUGCAGACCAUACAGGUUAUUACAUUUGCCCAAAUAUUUUUUGCAAGAGAAUGGUUUUUGUGUUACAUACCAGUUUUAUGAUACUCCUGAUAUGCAGAUCAGGGCAGUCUUCUGUAACGACAGUUGCCGUUUCAGGAUCCCCAUUGCACAGUACAUGAAUGACAGCAGGACUUAAACCUGCGACAUGGAGACCGUCAUGUAGAAAACUGUGGGCCAGCAUCCUUCCUGCCACCUGGAAAAGGUUGCUUUCAAUAAGCACCUUUGAUGCCGCUGGAACAAGAUGAUCAGGUUCACCCUCAAAUAGCAGUGUUCGGCCCAUUCCUCCUGUAAGUACCAAGGGUGAUAAAGGCAUAACAAUUAACCAUCUGAAACAUUUUUUAAAUUAAAUUGAAUUAACCUUCGAAAUUUUAAGGGACUUACCAAGAUCUAGACUGAACCCAAACUGGAGUUUGCAUAUUACUGUUGUCAUAAAGUACCGCAUCACUCCCUCUCCGACAGCAACAUCACCUGAAAUAAAACACUGAUAAUAAAUAACACUGGGAAAAUCAUGGCUGACUAAUGCAGACUCGAUUAGGUAAAAUUUAAGCAAGGAAAAAAAUAGUCAAUAUUCUAUUGCUGCCAUUCUACAACAGCAUCCUAAAGAAUAUUGUGCAUGGAAGAUUUUUUUGUCAAAUAUAUCAUUUUUUUCAAUCUCACUUUCCAUUUGACAAUUUCAUAUAAUACACCUGAGUGGUAUAAACCUUUCUGAUACAUUUAUAUGCCUUACCAACAAGGGUACAAUGAAGUGGGCAUGCCUAUUCUUGCUGCCAUUUAAAGAAGGAGAGAAGUUCCCAUUCCCUUUCUUCUUCAGAGUCCCUUACAUCCAUUCUCAUUUUAAGUGGUUUCCCAGAUGCAUGUUCCCGAAGUAAAUUCUCUUUAAAAACUUUGGAAGCUUGAGCUGGUUCUUUAAUCAGCUUCCAUUCUAAAUCAACAAUAAAAAGGAAAAAAUUAUCUCUUCCACAGAAAUGUUGUGAGCUGGCAUGUUACCUGUCAAAACAAUAUUCUCCUUCAGGGUAUAAAAAGGGAGAAAAGUUCUGUCCAUUUCACUGACUAUGCGACCCCCAACAUCUUCAGAAUCUGUCACAAAGCUGAAGUGACAUAAAAACAGCAAAAGACCAUUCUAAACAGAUACUUAACAUUUUAACAUAAAGGGCUCUAUUUUCGUGCGCGCCGGUGAGGCGACGGAGGGUGGCGGACCCCGCGCAGUUGUAUUUUUCGUCUGGCGGAGCCCGGCGUAAAGCCAAUUUGGUAUUUUCGUGGACUGAGGCGCUCUGAGGCAAACCGAGAUCCGCCAAGCUGGGCGUGGUGGCGUGGCAGGGGGAGGUGUCGACAGAAUCAGCGGGCGCAGUGACAUUUUCGUGCUCGCCAAUGGUGUGUAGAGUGCGCUGAAAGCUCGUCGAUUCAAACCUGGUCAGCUUUCAGCGCAGGUGGAGCGCAGCUGGUCUAGUAGUAUUUUGGUAGACCGGCGGCGUAUCGGCAUACGUCACUGAUGCCUCAUCGGCAGGUUUCCAUAGUGUCAGGCACAUUUCAGUGCAAUAAAUAAUCAUCAACAACUAAUAAUCUGAGUCAGCACAUACAUUUAGAUCUAUAUAGAUAUAUUCUGAUCUAUAUCUGAUCUGAUGAGCGCGUUUGGCACACAUUUGGACACACAACCUGACCGAAUCAACACAGCUGAAAUCGCAUCAAAUUAAAUUAAAUAUCUAGUAAAUCGACACACAUGAUGAAGUUAACAAGAUAUGUAAUUCGUCUCCCUCCUUUUCUUUCUUCCUCUUCCUCUUAUUUCUCGCACAGCUCGACCUGGACACGUCUCUGUGUCCUCUCUCCGUCCUGCUGCUGCUGUGGCUGAACAAAUGAUUUGUUUCAGUGCUCAGAUGAGUUAUCUACUUUAAGCCGACAUACGGAUAUUAUAAUAUUCAGUUUUGUGGGCCAAAUUUAUUUUAUAUACCAACAUCUAUGAAAGAAAGAGCCAGACCACAGAGCGUGAUGCAUCAUUUACGCACAGAUGGUUCAAAUUUUAAUGCCAUUUUUGGAGAUUAUGUUGUGAUCUGUGCGCUCAACCCACCUUUGUCACGUGAGGUUUGAAUAUAUGCAACUUUAUGUGAGUGUCUUUAAUUGUGGAAAAGGAUGUUUGUCUUACCAGUGGGUCCAACAUUACACACACCAAAUCCAUCUGUGCUCAUAUGAGAGAGUCUGGAGGACGCCCAAUGCAGCACUUACAGUGACACUUGUUAAGGAGCUGCCCUCUGUCGCCAUCUUGUGGCAUUACUGUCUUCAGACAUCUCUUGAUCUCUUUGACUACUUCAUGAAAAUAGUAAUAUGCCUCACCUGUGGCGGACUUAAAGGCAAGGAGAGGAGCUGAUGUGAUUGGUGAAAACGGGUCUCGGCUGUGUUAAAUUCACUCCACGCCCUUUCUCCUCCCUCGCUACGACUUACGCCGCUGGGAGGAGCUGAGUUAAGGACCUUGUUCGCUUUCUGAUUCCUGCAUGUGUCUCCUUGAAGUUAACAAAAUCAAAAUGAUCAUCAUACUCACCUAUAUGUGUGCGCAACACUCUAAGAGAGACUUACAUUUCCUUAGGAAGUACUUGCCCAAUGCAGCUCAAUCUGUGUUCCCUCAUCUCAGAUAAGGAAACUUCCCUUUGACAUGUGAUGCAGGGGAUGAUUGGACCGGGACUGGAGCGCUCCUAAAUAAAGCAAAUGGCUUUUUAGUGAUAAAAAAUUAUCAGUUAGCUUCAUUUUGUUGAGUGUCUGCUUAUUUAUGUACACAAUUUAAGGGAAGAUCCUGUUGAAGUGGACUUAUGUAGAUUGUAACCUGUCCAAUCAUCAUUGAUGGAUCUUUUAGAUAUGCAAGGGUGUAUCCAGUGCUGGGACACUGAAGUAAUCGAGGUUUCGGCUGCGAGUAGAUCCCACAAUUCUGAGAAGUUCAAAGCCUCCCCCUUCUUAGAGCUUUGGAAAUACUUCCAUCAAUUUAUUUGUUUUAACUUUGGGAUCAUCAUCAUCCCCUGGGGAAAAUAAAGAAGUUACAACCAUAGUUAUUAGUACUACAAAAAACCUGCAAAUAAAUGUAGUGAGCCACAGACAAUAAAGUUUUUUUUUGUUGUUGUUUUGGUAAAUUCUUAAUUUCCCACAAACCUGAAAAUGUCACCCUUGCCUCGCCAAGUCCUGCACCCUGAAGGUCUGCUUUCAGUGGCAUACUCAAAGGUCAAAGGUCAAAGGUUUCUUUAUUUAUACCUUGCGGUAAAUUUUGUUUGCAGGCAGGAACCCAGCCGUCCAGAUAAGACACACAUAAAAACAACAAUACAACAGUCAAGUACAAGAAAAAAAAUGCCAAUCGUUAAGAGCCAUAAAAUCACAUAAAAUCUCUCCAGAUCCGAAGGUUCAAUAAGACUCCCUCAUCUAUUAGCCCUGCCAUUGAGCUUUGCAAUAGCUGCUGGGACAAAGGUGGUUCUGUAACGCUUGGUCCUGGCCUUGGGGACCAAGAAGCGACAGCCGGAGGGAAGGAGCUGGAACUCGCUAUGCAGAGGGUGCAAGCUGUCCAAAGCAAUAGCGCUGGCUUUACGCUGCAGCUGGGCCUCAUAUAGAGCUGUCAUGGAGAGUUGAGGCUCCCCAAUUAGCCUUCCAGCCCAUUUAACAAUCUGGCCCAGAGCAUACUUGGCACUUUAUCCGCCUUGCUGUCAGCUAGACAAAAGACUGUGUGUGUGUAGUUUGUUCUGUUGUUCUGGUUCGGUGCUGGUCGUCGUCUCAUUACUCUUCUGGAGACACUAUUAUAAGGAGCAAAGAGCCUUGCUACCUCGGCUGCAACACAAAAUAACACGACAAAAUCUUCGAUUCAACUUGCGAACUGUUAUCCAGUUGACCACACACCUGUGUCUCGAGCCAUUGAUUAGUAGAACACCUGGCUAGUGAAAUUAUGGGAAAUUACUAAGCUAACCUUCGACAGGUGUACGAGAUUGAGGAGGAGCUGGGGUCCGCUGUGGAUGCUGUGUCGGCGCUGCCAGAGGCGUCUGAGCUGCGGGAGCUGCCGGAGCCGAAGGUGUUCUUCUGAGGGCUUCUUCAAUUAAAUUUGCAGCUUCUCUGAGCAGUUCCGGGCAUGUUUUAUCCAUUGAAGAGCCUAUCGCUGGCUUACUAUGGGGGUAAUACUUUUUGGUUGCAGAAAGUGCGGAAAUUGGUUUAAUCAAGUAUUAGCGGGCUUAUCCAACGUAGAGGUGAAUAGCGGCACAGAGUGUAUAGGAGUGUGUUCACAAGCUCUGCCUCGAUCCAUUAUCUGGCAUCGCUAUGCCUGGACUGGAUGUGCAGGGUAACCAAUCAGGAGUUAGAUCUCCGCCCACUGACUUUGAUGAGUGAGUUUGACACAUAAAAUUAUUUCAUGAUGCACGCGACACGGACCAUGAAAUAAAUAUAUGUCUUUCAUGAAAUAGUAUUUUAAUUAUUUAUUGAUGCUUUAAUUUAUUUAUUGACACUUUUAUUUAUUUAUUGACACUUUUAAUAAUACAUUUAUUUAUUGAUACUUUUAUUUAUUUAUUAAUGCUUUUAUUUAUUUAUUGACACUUUUAAUGCUAGAUUUAUUUAUUUAUUGACACUUUUUAUUAUUCAAUGGUACAUUUAAGUAUUUAUUUAUCAAUGUAUUUAUUUAUUUAAUUUUGGCACUUUUAGUCCUACAUAGGGAAAUUGUGAUAAACGUAAAUAAAAACAGAAUACAAUGAUUUGCAAAUCCUUUUCAACCUAUAUUCAAUUGAAUACACUACAAAGACAAGAUAUUUAAUGUUCAAACUCAUAAACUUUUUUUUUUUUGCAAAUAAUAAUUAACUCAAAAUUUCAUGGCUGCAACACGUGCCAAAGUAGUUGGGACAGGGGCAUGUUUACCACUGUCUUACGUCACCUUUCCUUUUAACAACACUCAAACAUUUGGGAGCUGAGGAGACUAAUUGUUGAAGCUUUGACGUUGAAAUUCUUUCCCAUUCUUGCUUGAUGUACAGCUUCAGUUGUUCAAAAGUCCGGGGCCUCCGUUGUCGUAUUUUACGCUUCAUAAUGCGCCACACAUUUUCAAUGGGAAACAGGUCUGGACUGCAGGCAGGCCAGUCGAGUACCAGCACUCUUUUACUAUGAAGCCAUGCUGUUGUAACGUGCAGAAUGUGGCUUGGCAUUGUCUUGCUGAAAUAAGCGGGGGCGUCCAUGAAAAAGACAUUGCUUGGAUGGCAGCAUAUGUUGCUCCAAAAUCUGUAUGUACCUUUCAGCAUUAAUGUUGCCUUCACAGAUGUGUAAGUUACCCAUGCCUUGGGCACUAAUGCACCCCCAUACCAUCACAGAUGCUGGCUUUUAAACUUUGCGUUGAUAACAGUUUGGAUGGUACUUUUCCUCUUUGGCUCGAAAGACACGACGUCCACUAUUUCCAUAAACAAUUUGAAAUGUGGACUUGUCAGACCACAGAACACUUUUCCACUUUGCAUCAGUCCAUCUUAGAUGAGCUCGGCCCAGAGAAGCCGGCGGCGUUUCUGGAUGUUGUUGAUAAAUGGCUUUCGUUUUGCAUAGUAGAGUUUUAACUUGCACUUACAGAUGUAGUGACGAACUGUAUUUACUGACAAUGUUUUUCUGAAGUGUGCCUGAGCCCAUGUGGUCAUAUCCUUUACACAUUGAUGUUGGUUUUUGAUACAGUGAUACUGAGACCGUAGAUGUUGAAAUCCCUAAAUUCCUUGUAAUUUUACUUUGAGAAACGUUGUUCUUAAACUGUUUGACUAUUAGCUCAUGCAGUUGUUCACAAAGUGGUGAACCUCGCCCCAUCCUUGCUUGUGAAUGACUGAGAAUUUUUGGGGAAGUUGCUUUUAUACCCAUUCAUGACACCUACCUGUUCCCAAUUAACCUGCUUACCUGUGGGAUGUUCCAAAUAGGUGUUUGAUGAGCAUUCCUCAAAUUUCUCAGUAUUUUUUGCUACCUUUCCCAACUUCUUUGACAUGUGUUGCUGCCAUCAAAUUCUAAAGUUAAUGAUUAUUUGCAGAAAAAAGAGUUUAUGAGUUUGAACAUUAAAUAUCUUGUCUUUGUAGUGUACUCAAUUGAAUAUAGGUUGAAAAAGAUUUGCAAAUCAUUGUAUUCUGUUUUUAUUUACAUUUAUCACAAUUUCCCAAAUUCAGUGGAAUUGGGAAAUUGCACUCUUCACCUGUCUGUGUUGCGUCACCUGUGUUAAAGCUUUAGACUCCUCUGUCUCUGACAGUAUUUAAUCAGCGUUCGUACAAGCUGAGGUGUUUGAGAUUCAAAUGAUCUGUAGUUUGCAGCAGUUUAUGCUGCAGCGGUGUGCAGGGUGAUGGAGCUGUGGAUGUUUUUUUAAUGAGCUUUGAUUCUCUGACAGUAAACUCUGUAACUACCGGGAAUCUGAAUUAUUUACGUGCACCUCCACCUCCACCUCACCCUCCACCUCCACCCUGAACACUGCUCAUGCUGCUGCUUCGUGUGUGCAUAAAGGUUCCAGCAGCACAAACUACAUUACCCAGAGUUCACCCCAAUCUGUGAUGUCUGCAGCAAAGCUAGCAAUCCCACCACCACCACCACACACACACGCACACACACACACACCCUGUUAUAUAACCCAAACCCCUCAUGCAAAGGUGUGUGUGUGUGUGUGUGUGUGUGUGUGUGUGUGUGUGUGUGUGUGUGUGUGUGUGUGUGUGUGUGCGUAUGUGUGUGUGUGUGUGUGGGCAUUAACAGGCAGAGACAGAUUACACACACACACACACACACACACACACACACACACACACUCACAUACACACACAGUCAUACAAAGAGUGAAGGUUAAGGACUUGAAUAUGAUUUAGCUUUUUAGGAAAUAUCAAUAUUCAGAAUUGUUAUUAAUCUUAAAGUUUUUUUCUGGCUGAAACAAAAUCAAUAUGUUUUUUUUCCCUUUCAUGUUAUUAUAUAUAUUUUAUUAAUAUUUUUUUAUUACUUCAACAUGCUCAACAUAAAUAUAACUGAUCUGACAUCAUUGUUUAUGCAAAGACCAUAUGGAGGGAAUCUGUUUUAUACUCUGAAUAUUAGUGCACACAGCAGAUCUACAAGAGUCAUCUCUGCAGACAUACAACCAUGAGGAGCCGAUUCCAAACUACCUCAUGUCAAAAUGUGAAAAGAUGGAAUGCGGAUAUUUGGCAGCUGCUUUAGUUACAAGCUGUCGGGUAAAGAGAGAGAGAUGGACAUGAGACAGAGGAGCUGCUUCAGGGAUUUAUCUGACACCACCAACAUGGGGAGCAAACACACCUUCUAGAGCAACACCAUCUGACUGAGAGAUCACACCUGACAAUACAACAUGAUAUGAUAGGAGACCAGAGGCCUAUUCUACGAAGUAGGAUUACUGCUUAGCGAGGUAACUUCGAGGGUAAGUUCGGGGUUUCCUGUUCUAUGACGUGGGUUCACUUCUUAGUGAGGCAAGUCUCCAUGGCAACAUAUGCUAAACGGCUAACCUGCUUCGGGGCAGGUUAGGUUCCAGAUUGAACUCAGAGAAUAUAAAAACCCCUCCCACUGACCAAUGAGCUCUCUUGAAAAAUAGCUUGUCCAUUCUUGGAGGAUCCUAUAGACCUCAGUGCUCGCAUUGUCCGAGGAGCUCUCCGGCGCGCGAGAGUUUUCAGGGACUGCACGGACCCACUUACUUUUCCGGAUGACCACCUUUAUGAAAGGCUCAGAUGGCCUACACAUCACACAAAAAAAUGUAAACAUGAUAGGAAUGAACAAACGAAUGAAUUCAUCUUGGAAAUAAAUUAGACAUGUCUGGUGCAUGUUUAAUGCGCAUGUUGAACAGUGUUAUUUCAGGGUGAUAAUGGCAUCAAAGAUUUUUUGCGCACUAUAUUUACGCAUUGAGACUGUCAGCAAUUUUCUGCCAGCAAUUCUUCUGUGCUUUUGCAGCAGCGAUAGUGUUGCUUUCAAAGUUUAUGAUGGAUUUGAAUUCUUCAUACUUUCUCAUGAUUGUCUCCUGCUCCUCAUUUGUAAAGUACGCAGUCCUUCGCUCUCCGGCCUGCUCUGAUGCUCCAGACUGGUCCAUGUUCGCAAUUAGUCAGAUGCGGCGGGCUCCGCCUUACAUGCGUGCACACGCUCAUAGCAAAGCUGGAUCCACUUACGAGGUUGAUAACCAGUGUCGUAAGACCGUUUAGCAAGACCGCUGGCUACUGCGCUAAGUCGAGCGAGGUAGCUCCAAGGCUACCUCGCUCGGUUGAACUUGCUUCAUAGAAUGGGCCCCAGACAAGACAGGAUGAGACAAUACCAAACUUUACCAUAUACUACAAGACAGAACAAGAUGAGACGAUGUGACAUGAGACAUGAAAAGAUAAAACAUGAGUGGAGACAAUACAAAACAAGACGAGACCAGUUGAGACAGCACUACAUGAGAAGAGACAGGAUGAUACAAACCAAGAAGGGACAAGAUGAGAUGAUGCAAUAUGAUAUAAGACAAGACCAUAGGAUGAGAAAAGAUGAAGUGAUAAGACACAAGAUGAGACCAGAUUCUGCAAUACAACAGGAGAUAAGAUGAGAUGAGAUGAGUAGAGACAAUACACCAUGAGAUGUGACAUGACAAGGUUAUAUCACAGGAGAUGAGAUAAGAUGAUACGAUAAGACACAAUAAAAGAUGGGACAGUAUUCAUCGAUAUGAGAAUGGAUGAGAUGAGUGGGGAUGAGACAAGGUAUGAUGAGCAGAGACAAUGCAACAUAAGAUGUGACAUGACAAGGAGAGACUUGGUAAAAGGUCAAAGAGACUCUAACAGGCCAAAAAGACUCAUUAACAGGUCAGAGGGACUCAGUUACAAGUCAGAGAGACUCAGUCACAGUUCAGAGAGAAUCUGUACUAGGUCAAAGUGAAAGAAUCUGAAUAAAGGGAUUUACUGAUUGAUGUGGGGACGAUCCAGCUCAGGCCUGGGGCUCCACACCUGUUUUAAGAGAGUUGGUUUCUUUAUCCAGGUGAUCACUGAGGACUCUCUCUCUCUUUCUGUCUCUAUCAAUUUCAAAUUUUUCAAUAUUCAAGAAGUUUUAUUGGCAUGAUUGUUAUAACAAUAUUGCCAAAGCAUUACAAUACAACAACAACAAUGACGCUAAUAAUAAUAAUAAUAAUACGGAAAAUGGAACAAACAGAUAGUGUGAUUAUCAUGUUGCAGUUAAAAACUCUGGAGCAGCUUACUUUUUUAUGGCAUGUAUUCACAUGUUUGCUGCUUCUAAAGCAGUGGCCCUUUGUUGUCCUAAGAGAUGUCUAAACUUUUCCUGGUCUGUGAGUUGGGUGAAGUUGGUUGUUAUGUGCGUGAGUUUAGUGUAUGUGUGUGUCCUGAUGUGUGUGUAUGUGUCACAGUGUAGCAGGAAGAGCUGCUCUGUCUUCAGCUGUGUGUGAGGACAGAGCCAAAACAGCCGCUCCUCUCUGGGCAGCCAGGUUUGCAUGCGGCGGCCGCUCUCUAUGGCCAGGCUGUGGUUGCUGAGUCUGUUCACAGUCAGAGCGAGCAUGAACGAGAGAGCGAGCAUGAGCGAGAGAGCGAGCAUGAGCCAGUCCCUUCUCCUGGAAAAGAUUGAAGUGCUUCAUGAGGCAAAUAAAACAAUCACCAUACUCAAACUCACACUGUCCAAUGAGCUCAAAACAAAAUCUAAAUUACUCACAACCUGUAUGGAUGUGGCCCACCAGCAAUCCCUCCACCUGUUCUCCCCUCCAAGCAACCCUCCAAGACACGCUACCCUGGGAGCCUCACAGCCCGAGGACCUCGUCCCGACCGCCAUCUGCCACAGCACCCAACCAGGACUCAACAUGGACUGAAGUGACCACUCGAGGCAGGAAAACCACCAACACCAUCCCCUGGAACCCGGCCGGGCCUACCUCAAGCUCCACGCCGGGUUCCAGGCAAUCCACUGACCCGGGCCGAGGUCCUCACCAGCGGCAGGACAAAUCCUUCCAGAGAUGCCUCUACAGUCUGGUUGUCCCUCUCGAACCGCUUCGAGGCCCUUGAGCAUCCUCCUAAGCCUGCCAACACCAGCAUGAACCAGUCCCCUCUCGGCGGUAACGUGGUGUCCUCCACAGCGGCUGCCGGAGCUCCCAUGGCUCCUACACGGCCACCCGGCGGAGCCCCCGGGCCUUCGUCCUCGUCCUCCGGUGCCUUCGCGGCGUGCCGGCCCAAAGAUCGGGCGGCCUCCGCAUCUUCUGGCGACCAGGGAUUCCCGUGUGGCCUGGCACUGGCGGAGGGGACCCCUCUCCGUCGGUCUCCGGUUGCCCAGGGUGUCCCGGAACCCACCUUAACCACCGCUCUGAGACCCGGACCGCGUCCUCGGCCUCCCACAAGAGGUUUCUCCGAGAGGCAGUCCGCCGGAACUCCGCCGGGCCCGCCGCCGCCCCAGACCGAAAUGGCAGACCAUCCCUGCAGCCGCUGGCAUCCACUGCACCGCCAAGUCCUCGCAGCCUGGCCACCUGCCCUGCUUCGGAUACAGGAGCCAUGCAACUCCCGCCGUUGUUUCCCCCCACCACCUUGAUCAUCGGUGACAGGAUCGUACGAGGUAUUCGUUUUUUUAAUGCCAUCACUCGCUCUUUCCCCGGUGCAACUGUCGCUGACAUCACGGCAAAACUCCCCGGUCUUCUCCAGUCACUUCCUUCCUCUAUCCACCGUAUCAUUGUUCACGUCGGCAUCAACGACACGGCUCACCAACAGUCUGAACUGACAAAAAAUGACUUCAGAACACUUCUCGACAUCCUUCAGUGCAGCAACCCCACCUCACUGGACGAGGUGGUGGCGUCGCAGUCAUCCACAAACAAACCCUCAAGACCACCCCUGUCCCAACCCUGUCUGUUCACUCAUUUGAAAAUAUUUCUGUCAAAAUCCCCGGCCCCACCCUUCUGGUCAUUGUCACCAUCUACCACCCUCCAAAGCCCCACCCAUCAUUCCUCUCUGAUUUCUCUGACUUUGUCACCCACCUAAGCACCAUCUCAUCCUCUGUCCUGGUGCUUGGAGACUUCAAUUUCCACAUUGACAACCCCACCUGCAAACAAGCCACCGAUUUCCUAGAUCUGCUCGACACCCUCAACCUCACCCAGCACGUACACUCCCCCACCCACUCCCACUGCCACACCCCCAACCUCGUCUAUUCCACCAGCAUCUCCAUCCACCAUCUCUCCACCAUCAACCUCUAUAUAUCUGACCACCUGACUGUCACUUUCAACAUCCGCCUGCACCCUGAAUCCCAUCCCAUCCUCCAUCAUCAAACACUGCCUCCCCAUCAUCUCGCCCAUCAUCACACAGAUCAUUAACUCCUCCCUCAACUCCGCCACUGUUCCCCCUUCACUCAAACUGGCCGCUGUCACCCCCAUCCUCAAAAAACCUGGACUCAACCCAUCUCCAACCUCCCUUUCCUGUCAAAAAUCCUUGAACAUGUCAUUGCAUCACAAAUCAAAGCCCACCUCAAUAAUAACAACCUUUACGAACCGUUUCAAUCAGGAUUCCGCACCCACCACAACACCGUAACUGCCCUCAUCAAAGUCACCAACGACCUCCUCAUUUUAGCUGACUCUGGCCAACUCUCCAUCCUCAUCCUCCUUGACCUCUCCGCCGCUUUCAACACCAUUGACCACGCCAUCCUCCUGUCCGGCCUACACUCCCUCCUCAAUAUCACAGACACCGCUCUUAACUGGAUCCGUUCAUAUCUCACAGACCGGAAUCAUUUCAUCCACAUUAACAACUGCUCCUCCCAAGGUGUCCCCCAGGACUCGGUGCUUGGUCCCCUCCUCUUUAUCAUCUACCUCCUCCCUCUUGGCCACAUCCUUCGUCAACACAAUCUCCACUUCCACUGCUACGCUGAUGACAUUCAAUUAUACAUCUCUUCCACCUCCAUCACCCCCCAGACCCAACGCUCCCUCUCAAACUGCCUCUCUGAUAUCAAACACUGGAUGGACAGCAACCUUCUGAAACUCAAUUAUGACAAAGUCAAACCACAGUCACAGACUUUCAUCUCUCCAUUGACAACUCCACCCUCUACCCCUCCUCCCACUGUCGCAAUCUUGGUAUUCUCUUCAACAGCAAGCUCUCCUUCACCCAGCACGUAAAGCAAAUCACCGAAACAGCCUACUACCACCUCAAAAACAUUGCCCGCCUCCGCCCCUCCCUCUCCUACCCUGCAGCUGAAACCCUCAUACAUGCAUUCAUUUCAUCCUGUCUAGAUUACUGUAACAGUCUCCUCCAUGGCACUACCUCCACUCUCCUCAAUAAACUUCAGCUCAUCCAGAACUCUGCCGCCCGCCUCCUCACCCAUACACGCUCCCACCAACACAUCACCCCCGUCCUCCAGAACCUUCACUGGCUCCCCAUCCCCCAUUGCAUACAGUACAAAAUCCUCCUUCUCACCCACAAAGCACGACACAACCUGCCCCCCCCACCUACAAGAUCUUCUCCACCCCUACCCCCCCCCCCCCCCCGCACCCUCCGCUCCGCCAAUGCCAACCUCCUCACAGUUCCCCUGACCAAGCACCGAACCUGGGGGGACAGAGCCUUCUCAGUCGCCACCCCCACCCUCUGGAACUCACUCCCAUUGGACCUCAGAAACUGCACAGACCUCAACAGAUUCAAGACCCUUCUCAAAACCCACCUCUUCCGCACUGCCUUUCAUCCUCCAUAGUCCCCCCCCCCUUGGAUUUUACAUGAUUUUACAUGAUUUUAUUGAUAUUGAUGUAUAUUUUAUUGUAUAUUGAUGUAUGUUUUAUUAUAUAUUGAUGUGUGUUUUAUUGUUCUUGCUUUUACUCAUGUACAGCGUCCUUGUGUUCUUGAAAAGCGCUUUACAAAUAAAAUGUAUUAUUAUUAUUAAGGUUCUCCUCAGUCUGGGGUCAGUUACUGAACUCGGGUAAUCUGCCAUGGAGUAUUGUCUGUUUAGGGCCAGAUAGCAUUGAAGUUUGCUUUGGGUUUGGAUUGUAGAUGUCCAACAGUUGAUGUUGUUAUCUUUUGUUUUUGUAUAAUUCGGUUGGGGGGCCGGAUUGUGUGAGGGCGGUCUUGGUGCUCAGUGCUGAUGGAGCUGCGCUUGUGGACCAGCUGGCUGAGGGGACUCCUGUCUCUGCUCCCCUCUUGGAUCUGCAGGGUCACUGGCUUUGAGGUGUUGGUAGAAUUCGAUUGCCCUUAUUUGGAUCCAGAUUAAAAGGGGAAAUUGGCCUAAUUCAGCUCUGGAUCCGUUAUUGGGGGUUUUACUGUGGACCCUGAGAAUGCUUCUACAAAUCUCUGUGUGCAGACUUUUGAUUGGGUGUUUGUCCCAUUUCUGGCGGCGCCGUGUGGAGUCCAGCUACUCUAACAGACGACUCUAACGGAUUGACCCCAGAUACCCAGAGCAUCUACCUGGCUACAACGGUUACAACGAUCGACCAAUACACAGCAGAUCAAAUAAAAUACCCCCGGUCACAUCGAUCACGGCUGGAACGCCGAAAGAGAGACUUACCUGAGAUUUCCACCAUCAGCGGGCCCUCUUCCGGGGCCCUCGCCGGUAAGUCUCCUACCGUGUUGUCUGAUCUGCUUCCUCACCGCUGCGGGCUCCAGGACGGAGCCCUGGCGUGUAAGUGUCCUUCUCGGCACAGUCCAAUCCCCGAUCCAGACUGUCCUCUAUUAGAUCCUGCCUGGUGUCGUUGGCUGUCUGCUGGUUGUUGUUUUUAUCCAUUUCAGCCAUGGCUCCACACUCCUCUCCGCCCGGCUGUGCCAGCUGCGCCUGUCUGGCGGAAAAGAUCCAGAAGCUGGAACAAAGGAUCUCCACACUCUACCAGAUCCAGGAAGCCGAGAAACUCAUGGACACCAUCGUCUUCAGAACAUCACAUCCCGACUCCACCGGCUCGUCGGAUCCGGACCCCGCCGCUCCCAACACCUCUCCCCCGGCUGCUGCGACCACCUCUCCUCUGCCUGCUCAUCCAUCCUUCUUCCCCGAGGUCUCCUCGACAAGGCUGGGAGCAAAACCCAAGGCUAAUCCAGAGCCUCCAGCUAGCUCCACUCCAUCCCUGCAGGAGCGCUGGUCCCACAUCACCGCCCGCACCAGGAAAUCAAAGCUCCCACCUCAGGCUCCCCUCUUCCAACUCCACCUGGAGAACAGGUUUGACACCCUGGACCUCCAUGACUCCCCCCCGCUGCCCGCGGGAUCCCAGCCGAUGUCCACCCGGCUAUCCCAUGGGUCCUGCGGUCCUCCGCCUCCCGUGCCCGACCAUCCGCACGCCGGGUCCCUCCGGCGGCGCUCGAUGCCGUGCUUCACACCGGCACCACGGCUGGCCCGUGUCCCUUCCCUCUCGCCUCAGUUGUCCUCCCCGGCGAGUUCCCCCCCUCCCCAUUCCUCUCUGGUCACGCAGUCUCCACGUCCACUUUUCCCUCCAACGACUUUAAUUGUGGGCGACUCCAUCGUGAGAAACAUCCGCUUUUUUAACGCUCUCACGCGGUGUUUCCCCGGUGCGAGGGUCCUUGACAUUUUAACACUCCUCCCCACUCUGUUAAAAUCUCUGCCAACUUCCAUCCAGAGAAUUAUAAUUCAUGUUGGCACCAAUGACACGUCCCUCCACCAGACCGAGCUCACGAAGGACCAUUUUACCCAACUUUUUAACUUUCUGAAGAACUGUGAACUGUCUGUUUUUAUCAGCGGCCCCAUUCCCACUUCUGGUCGUGGGUGCGGGAGCUUCAGCAGAGUGCUCAGCCUGCACACCUGGCUCCAAUCUGCCUCCCAAGCCCAUAGCUUUGCCUUCGUGGACAAUUUUAAUCUUUUUUGGAACCGUUCAUCCCUUUUUAAACUGGAUGGUAUCCACCCGAACACCACAGGUAGCCGCAUGUUAGCGGCUAACCUGCAGCACACUGUUCACUGUUUCCCACGUGAUUGACUAUUUACUUCCCCCCCACACACACACCCCUCUCCCUCUGUUGUGCACCCACUGCUGACAGGUCCUCCCCAGAGCUCCCCCUGCUGGCAAAUUCUGUCACCGACUCCCUCUGCCACAGGUUUUCAUGACAUUUUUUCCCCACUCCCUAAUAAUUACAGUAGUAUCCAACUUCUCACUAUUCCUGUCCAUAUCACCAACAGACACCACUCUAAUAGAUACACCACCCGGACUGUCAAUCACUCUGUUUUAACAAGCCCAUCCAUACUGGCUCCCAUCCUCACCAAACAUGACAAUACCUAUGUCAGCUUCGGACUCCUCAACAUCCGCUCACUCACCAACAAGGGACACAUCUUCCACGAUCUCCUCACUGACCGCAAGCUGGACUUCCUCUGCAUCACUGAAACAUGGCAACAACCAAAUGACUUCUCAUCACUCAACGACUCCACCCCCCCGGACUACACCUACCUCUCCCACCCCCGCAGCCACGGCCGUGGUGGAGGUAUCGCCGUCAUCCACCACAAAAAGUGGAAAGUUCUACCGCUGUCCUUGCCUCUUUUCUCCUCACACGAACUUCUGGCAAUUACACUCCCUGGUCCCACUCCCACCAUCAUCGCCACCAUCUACCGCCCCCCCAAGCCUCACUCUGACUUCUUAAAUGACUUUUCGGUUCUACUCACCCAUCUAUGCACACUCUCACCAAACAUAAUAAUACUGGGGGACUUCAAUAUCCAUAUUGACAACACCAACCUCCCCCUCACCAGAGACUUCUCAUCCUGCCUGGACAGUUUUGGACUCCAUCAAUUCAUCAACUUCCCGACACACACUAAAGGACACACUCUGGAUUUACUCUGCUGCUCUGGCCUCAUCCCAUCCAACUGCACAGCUGAUGAUCUCCACGUAAGUGACCACCUCCUCAUCUCCUUCAGUAUUCCGCUCUCCCUCUCUAGAGUUUAUUCACCACGCCUCAUUACAUUCCGCAACCUUAAGAACAUAAACAUUGACACUCUGCGCUCUAAGAUUAUGAAUAUUGUGAUCCCGGACUGUUACACUACCCCUGAUGACAUAACAUCUCAUUACAACACCUGUUUAAAUAGCAUCCUCAAUUCCCUUGCUCCACUCAAAACACGCUCUGUUUCCUUCUCCACAACUGCACCCUGGUACACCCCCCACCUCCGCUCCAUGAAAACCAAAGGCCGCCAACUGGAAAGACUUUACAAGAAAACUGGACUCUCCAUUCACAAAGAAAUGUACAUUAACCACAUACGCUGCUACAAGGACUCAAUUUCUCACGCAAAAACAGACCACUACUCCGCCCAGAUCAUCUCCAACAAAGGAAACACCAGAUCACUAUUCACUCUCCUCAACAAAUCUCUCCAGCCACCGGACUCCCUCCCUCCCCACCUGUAUUCAACCGACACCUGCAACACCCUAAUGCAGUUUUUUAAUGACAAAAUCUCCAACAUCCAUAAACAACUACACUCAGGUUCUCUUCCCCCUGGACCCCCUCCAAACUCACCUACUCCCCUGCCACACCACCAGCCUUUCUCCAGUUUUCUUCUCCCCAAUGACUCUGAAAUCUAUGAUCUCAUCCAGAAAUCCAAACCCUCAACCUGUCAGCUGGAUCCCCUUCCCACCACACUGCUCAAAUCAUGCCUCCCAUCUGUGCUCCCUCUCAUAUCUGCCAUCAUUCACUCCUCACUCACCACUGGAACUGUUCCCACAUCCCUCAAGACAGCAGCCAUCACCCCUAUCCUUAAAAAACAUGGCUCUGACCCUAAUAACUUCAACAACCUCCGCCCCAUCUCAAAUCUACCGUUUAUAGCCAAAAUAAUGGAAAAGGUCGUCGCCAGCCAACUUCACACCCACCUAACCCAGAACUCCCUCUAUGACCCCUUCCAAUCUGGUUUCCGCCCCCGCCACAGCACCGAAACCGCACUGCUAAAAAUUACUAAUGACCUUCUCACUGCAUCUGACUCUGGUUCACUUUCCAUCCUCAUCCUCCUCGACCUUAGUGCAGCCUUCGACACCAUCUCCCAUCCCAUCCUCCUUCAUAGACUCUCCUCCAUCGGCAUCACCCACACUCCCCUCCGCUGGUUCCACUCUUACCUCUCAGACCGCACACAGUUCAUCCAGCUCAAAUCAUUCAAGUCCGACCCCUCCCCAGUCAGUUCAGGUGUGCCCCAGGGCUCUGUCCUGGGGCCCCUGCUGUUCAUCAUCUACCUCCUCCCCCUUGGUUCCAUCUUCCAUAAAUUCAACAUUCAAUACCACUGCUACGCUGACGACACCCAGCUCUACCUCUCCAGCUCACCAAACUCCACCCUCCCACCCACCUCCCUCAUCACCUGCCUAUCUGAAAUUAAAUCCUGGUUCACCUCCAACUUUCUCCAAUUAAACAGUCAGAAAACAGAAAUUCUUCUUGUAGGUUCCAAAUCCACCCUAUCCAAAGUUGACAGUCUCUCCCUUCCCAUCGACAGUUCCUCAGUUUCCCCCUCCCCUCAGGUCAAGAGUCUGGGUGUCGUCCUUGACAGUUCUCUUUCUUUUAAAUCCCACAUCAGCCUUACCACUCGCACUGCCUAUUUCCACCUCCGCCACAUCAAUCAUCUCCGCCCCUCCCUCUCCCCCAACACCACCUCCAUCCUCGUCCACAGUCUCGUCACCUCCCGUCUGGAUUACUGCAACUCCCUCCUCUUCGGUCUCCCUUACACGUCUCUCCAUAAACUUCAACUGGUCCACAACUCCGCUGCCCGUAUCAUCACCAAAACCCCUUCGUCCCACCACAUCACCCCCAUCCUUCAGCAGCUUCACUGGCUCCCGGUCCCUCUACGAAUCCAGUUCAAAAUCCUCCUGUAUACCUUCAAAGCCAUCCACAACCUCGCCCCUCCUUACCUAUCUGACCUCCUCCACAUCACCACUCCAGCACGCCACCUCCGUUCCUCUUCCUCUCUCCACCUCUCUGUGCCCCCUGUUCACCUCAGCACUAUGGGGGGCAGAGCUUUCAGUCGCUCUGCCCCCCGACUCUGGAACUCUUUACCAUCAUACAUCCGCAACAUAGACUCCCUCCCCCUCUUCAAGUCCAAACUCAAAACACACCUGUUUAAACUGGCCUAUCCCUCCCACCACCCCUAACCCACUUUUUUUUAAUUAAAUUUCAAUUGGUAUUAUUAAUUUCUUUAUUUAUUCCUUUGCUGUUGUUCAUGUUUAAUGUUGCUUUGUUGAUUUUUAACUGUUUGAUGAUUAAUGUGUGACGUGAAAGGCGCUUCAAAUAAAAUGUAUUAUUAUUAUUAUUAUUUCUUAAAGUCUUGAUUUACAACAGGGGCGAGUUUAGCAUCUGGUCUUUAGGGGUGCUCAGCCCCCACCCCAGUGUUGACAGAGGCACAUUAUUUUUCACUAAAUGAGGCCUACAAGUACAUUUGUAAAUGUUGGAGCUGUAUUAGUUUUGCUUUGAGUGUGAAUUCCAUCCAAUUUGCAUAUUACAUGAGCCAUGCCCAUAGAAAAACAGUUACAUUUUCUUACAUGAGCACAGGUAAAUAGCUUACUCAUACAAAACCCCAGAUCAAAUAAUUCCUCUUGUAGGUACAGCAUUGUACUUCCUCAUUAAUUAUGACCAAAACACAUUUUAUCCCACAAUACUAUCUUUAAUGGUAUGCCACAUUUUUACCAUUUUGGAGGGGAAAAAAAUGAAGCCUCCCCUUAAUCUAAAUGUAAAUCUAAAAAAUGUUUUCUUGAAAGGGAGGAAAAAAGAUUUGUCACAUCCCAUUCACCUCACACCAAAACAUAACAACUAAGUUAUUAUUAUUUCCUCUUACCUGAAGUUGACUUUAGGCCAGUGGUUCUCAAACUUUUUUUGUCAUUCCCCCCUUUGGAGGAAGAAAAAAUUUCAUUCCCCCCUACCCCAACAAAAUUGUGACAAAAUAGGCCAUGUAUAACUUUAUUGACAUAACAUUCCUUCUGCUGUAUUCCUCAAAACUAGAAAACAAACGUGCAGCCUUCGAGGCUGCUGCUCCCCGUCUGUGGAACGCCCUCCCCGACCACCUCAGGGCUCCACAGUCGGUGGAUGCUUUUAAAAAAGGACUCAAAACCUUCCUCUUUCGGAAAGCCUACCCGGACUAAUUUUAUCUGAUUUUAUCUGCUGACUGUUUUUAUUGUUUUGCCCUGUUGCUUGAUUUUAUUGUUAUUGUUGUCUUGUUGUGCACUUUGAGAUUUGUUUUCAAAUGUAAAGUGCUUUACAAAUAAAAUCUAUUAUUAUUAUUAUGUUGCAAGAACAAUAAUAAUCAAACAAUAUCAAGUUGAGUAAGUACAAAAAAUCCUGUGAAUCCAAGAGCAAGAUAGCAAGAUAGCUUCAUCAUAUUUCCUUGACUUGGCUUUUUGUUGGUUUGGCCUACUGUCAUCUAGGCAUGCUGUAUUGCUGGCUUCAGCUUUUCUUUUCAUCCCUGUCAAAUGUCUCUCCAUUCUGUACUUUUAUAUACAAUUUAUUAUUCUGAUCUGAACACAGUUGCUGGUUGUCACGGUGACAGGGGAAAGCGCGGGUUGUCCGCCGCUAAAAAAAUUCUGACGUCCAAACAUUGGUUCCGUGGCACGGACUCUGCACAACGCGAAACGGAGCAGCUUCAGCUCCUCUCAGAGCUCUCCACAGCGAGAGGAGUGCAGCAGCUGCUGGCAUAGCACGGCGUCGGUGGUUAUCUCCGCCCUGGUUUCUGAGCUAGUUCCCACCAUGAAUUAGCACAGCAGAAAGCGUCUUUGUAUGCUUUCAGGAGGACAUUGUACAGGUGGGGAUAGCAGCAUACUUAACAGGUGUUAUGCCGUAGAAUGCACCCCUGCUGUAGAAUGCACCCCCUGCAUCCCCUCCACUUGUUGCAACUUUCGUUCUGUUUUUAUGUGUCUCAAAAAUGCACAUACGGAGGUGUGCUUGGGUAUAUAAACUGUACAGUAAGCUGUCAAGCUAGCGAACAUUAUAUUUUCGGGACAACAAAUAUUCCAAAUCAGAGGGCUAUUUUUUCGGCUUAUCUGAAUAGCCUGAAUGAAAUUAUUAAAGGCGGACGCUUUUGAAUUCAUCCAAUGGUAAGGAAAACUUGAAUUAUUUUCGCCUUGUUAAGUACUUUCAACCGCGCUCCCGUCGGGGGGGUAGUUUAUGGCAGGGGUGCAUUCUACGGCACAACACCCGACAAGUAUCUCGCCUUGAGCGUCCACCACAACAAAUGCUGCUUCUUCGCGGUAAAAUAAAGAAACAGGAUUUAGGGCACUGGACUCCCCCUACUGAUGUGGCGAGUUCAGUAUGGCGCAUGCGUGACGAGCGCCGUGCCUGCACAGGAGGUGCCGCGCUAUCGCGGGUGCACACCAACCUAUUUGUAGCCGGGUGACUCGCGCCCCCCCCAGGGAUGGCUCCGCGCCCCCCUAGGGGGGCGGGCCACACACUUUGAGAAACGCUGCUUUAGGCCCUUGUUUUUAAAAAAAGAACGCCUGUCCAUCUGUGGAAAGACAGAUAAUAGGUCAGAUUUUCCCAGUGUUCCAGUUAACUAUGCAUGGGGGUCUGUAAUGAACCAUGGACAAUGGCAAAAAAGUAACAUGCAAGUAUCCCCCAUGCAAAAAAUGAGAUGAACCACAAAAAGUCUUUCAAAAAUUGAAUUCCACUCCGAUGUCUGGUACAGGACUGCACCACCCUGGUUGUUAUAGCAACGCAGCGCAACUAUGCUGACCGCUGGUAAAACAACAGUGGAGAAAAAACAGCAACAACAAGUAGGACAACAACGCAAGUGGAAACAGGGCUUAUUUUGUAGUACCUUCAUAUGUUCCAUACCUUCUUACCUCAGAAUGCGCCGACUCGGGUGCUGCUGCCUCGGUCAGCUGAAGCAGAGGUGUACACUGGUAGCAAGCAAUUGCGUAAACGUGCCAACCAAUCAAAAGAGGUGUAGGUGAUAAGUGGGUUAACAAGACUUGUAUUGAAGCUCACACAGCAGCAGAGGGGCAGAGCGACGUCACUCUGCGCAGUUGCACUCAUUUCUGAAGAUUUUCGCACAACACGAUCUUUUGGAGAGGUGCUGAGCUAGGGAGUGUUCAGCUAAUUCAUGGGGGUGCUGAAGCAUCCCUAAAAAUAGCCUAAACUCGCCACUGAUUUACAAGAGGACCCACAGUACAAUACCAUAUGAUAUAAUGGGUUCAAUUACAGACUGGAAUACUUUGAUCCAGAUUCUGACUGGAAUAUCAACGUAUCAAUAUCAAUGUGGAGAUUUUUUAGUAGACUAGAAGGCUCUUCUACCCUUGUCUUGCAGAUCGUUAAUGGCCAGACUGAAAUUUCCUGAAGGUGUGAUGUUUAGUCCGAGGUAUGUGUAGCUGUGUGUGUGUGUGUUGUAUUGUAUGUCUGUAGAGUCCAGGAGGAACCUGUGCUGGUCUUUCUGACAUUUGGGUUGUUUCUGAAAGACCAUGACUUUUGUCUUCUCUGGGUUAACGGUAAGGGCCCAGGUCAGACAGAACCAUUGCAGAUGAUCUUAUUGUUUUUGUAGAGUCUCUGUAGAUGGAGAGAGCAGGAUUAGAUCAUCCGCAAAAGUAAGCAUUUGACUUUUGUGUCCGGGAGGGUGAGACCAGGGAUGUCUGACUCUUACUUGUCCCUGGGCUCAUACUUGUUUCCACUUUUGUGAUUUGGGGUGAUUAUUCCUUGGUUCCAGGUGUCUGGAAAAUGUCCAAUGAUCAGAAUAAGAUUGAAUAAUUUCAAGAUGGCCGUCUUGAUUUUAUGGCUGCUAAACUGAGGCAUUUCAUUUAGGAUGUGAUCCGGUCCACUUGCCUUCCUUGGCUGCAGAGCCUUAGUCAGCAGCUCCUAUUCACUAAUUACAUAGUCUAAAGGGUUUUGAUUGUCUUUAACAACUGAUUCAAGGGCUUCUUAUUUGUUGAGCAGAUUAUUUUGGGCUGAAUCCAGAGUGAUUGCGCGGUAUAGAUUUUCAAAGUGCUUUUUCCUAAUUUCACCAGUUUGAACGGCCAGUUCUUCUUUGUUUGAUUUAUUAAAUGAAUGCCAUUUUUUUCCAAAAAAUUAUUAGUCAAUAGACCCUUCAAUUUCUUCUAGUAGGUGCUGCUCAUGUUGUUUCAUUUAGUGCUCAGUGCUUUUCUGUAUAACUUCAGUGAUUCCCAGUAUCGAAGGCGGAACUCCUGAUUAUCAGGUUGCUGGUGUUUUUCAUUGGAUAAUUUACGGAGUGUUUUUCUCAGAGAUCUGCAGUCAGAAUCAAACCACUUUUCAUCAGUAGAUUUGUUUGAACUAUGACGCUUAGUCCAUGUAGAUUCUCAUUCAUCCAGGUCAUGGUUAUCUUGAAGACUAAAAAACAGGCAACUGGACUGUGUAGAGUUAAGAAGACGUUUCGCCUCUUAUCCAAGAAGCUUCUUCAGUUCUAAAAGUGCUAGUGUCAGGAGCAGAUAUUUAUCUUACUGGAGAAGGGGGACAGUUAACGACUGGGAGGAGUUGAAAAGAAUGGGUCGUAGAAACCCACCUCUCGGUGUGUCCCCCCCAAGUCGUUAUCCUGAAAGGGUCGUUAGCGACUCCUAUCAUGUGACCACAUGACUCAUGCCACCUGAGUCAUGUGGUUCCAGGUGUGAAUGUUUGUGGAGCUUUCUGGGGAGAGAGCUGAGAACUGCAUUGUAAGUGCCAGAGAGAUUGUGCCUGAGUCCACCCCCUCUGUUCAGAGAAGGUUUCUCCAGCCUGGUAAAGAUGGCUUCUUUAACUCCUCUUUCAAACCAUCUGUCUUCUCGAGCCAACACCUGUACAUCGCUGUCCUCAAAAGAGUGACCUGUAUCCUUCAAGUGAAGGUGGACAGCUGAGUCCUGACCUGAGGAAGUGGCUCUCCUGUGUUGAGCCAUGCGCUUGUGAAGCGGUUGUUUAGUUUCCCCAAUGUACAGGUCUGAGCAUUCCUCGCUGCACUGGACAGCAUAUACCACAUUACUCUGUUUAUGUCUCGGUGUUUUGUCCUUGGGAUGGACUAGCCUCUGCCUUAGUGUGUUACCAGGCUUGAAAUGAACAGGAAUGUGGUGUUUGCCAAAGAUCCUCUUGAGUUUCUCAGACAGGCCUGCAACGUAAGGGAUUACAGUGCUCUUGCGUCUCUCCUCCCUUUCCUGUUCAGUGUUAUUUCUCUUUCUGUUCUUCACAAAGGCCCACUUAGGGUAUCCACAGGUUGUCAGGGCAUUUUUGAUGUGCUUUUGUUCCUUUUCCUUACCUUCUUUCUUCGUGGGAAUGUUCUCGGCCCGGUGGUUGAGUGUUCUGAUGACACCCAGUUUGUGCUGCAGAGGAUGGUGGGAAUCAAAAAGUAGAUAUUGAUCCGUGUGUGUUGGUUUCCUGUACACUUCAACGUUGAGACACCCAUCUGCCUCCAAGUGUACAGCACAGUCCAAAAAGGCCAACACUUUGUCCUUGACAUCUUCACGGGUGAACUUGAUGUUGCUGUCCACUGUGUUGAUAUGGUCAGUGAAGGCCUCUACUUCAUGUGCUUUGAUCUUAACCCAGGUGUCAUCCACAUAUCUGAACCAGUGGCUAGGAGCAGCUCCCUUGAAAGAGGUUAGGGCCUUCCUCUCUACCUCUUCCAUGUACAGGUUUGCCACUAUAGGAGAAACCGGGGAGCCCAUGGCGCAUCCGUGUUUCUGUCUGUAAUGGCGCUCUCUGAACUGGAAUUAGGUGGUGCUGAGGCAGAUGUCCAAUAAGGAGCAGAUGUGGUCCGGAGUUAAGUUGGUUCUGACUUCCAGUGUGCUGUCCUGUGAGAGGCGUUGCCUAUGACGCUUAGAUUUGUUCAGAUUGGAUAGAGAUGCUAUUUGGUCAAAUAUAUUGUUAAUAUCCCCAACAGCCUGAUUGAGGCCAUCAUUACUGUGGGGAUAUGAGGUGAAGAGAAAAUGGUUCAACUUAGUUUAGAUAGUUGGAUGCCCGAUUGCUCUCUGAAAGUCAUCUUUGCUAUGACUUGUCCACCUGUAAGGCUGUUUUGAGCGGUUGAGCCUUCUGGGCUGUGCUACACGGGGUCUGCUGGGGUCCUCCUAAUGUACAGGGUGAUUUUGCUAUGAUCUGAUAGGGGUGUUAGGGGGCUGACGGUGAAUGCCUUAAGAUAGAAGGGGUCUAGGUCUGUAAUACUAUAGUCUACUGUGCUGUUGCCAAGAGAGGAGCUGUGUGCUCUCGAACCGACCGUUGACUAUGUACAGACCCAGUGUGCGACACAUCUGCAGCAGUUGAUGACCAUUUCUGAUGACAGUUUUAUCAAAGUUGUUUCUGUGCAGAUGUGGAAGAGGAGGGAUGCUGAUCUGACCAGGUAUGUUUUUGUCUCCCUGUGCAUUAAUUGAAUCAGGAUCUGUGCCUGUUCUGGCGUUAAGGUCAUCACAGAUCAGCAAGUUUCUCUGUGUCUGGUAGCAGCUGAUCUCGUCUUCCAGAAUGGGGAAAGUGUUUUCGUUAUAAUAAGGGGACUCUGAUGGGGGGAUAUAGGCUGCACACGUGAAUAGGUCUUUGUCUGUGGAGGUAAGCUUUUUUUUUAUUUCAAACCAAAUUGAAAAAUCUCCUUUUAUGAUUAAUUCUCUUGAUCUCUUGAUUGUGUGAGGUUUGUCUUAUACCAGAUCAACAUCCCUCCUGAAUCUCUGCCUUGGCUUACACUCUUCAGUUUGGUAGAUGGAAAAAUGACUUCUCUAAACCCCCCCCCCCCCCCCCCCUUUGUCUCAGAGCAGGUCAGUGUGCUUCUCUCUGAGCUGAUUGAGGUGGUUUGUCUUGAAGCUUGAAUGAGUGAAGUUCAGACUGAGGUUUGGAGGUUAGAUGAUAAAACAGUUAGUGAAACACCUUUACCUGGCCAGCACAGGUGUGCUCACAUGUCAGACACAGAGCAGGUUACAUCAAUCAAUCAAUCAAUCAAUCAAAUUUUAUUUAUAUAGCGCCAAUUCAAAACAGUUGUCAUCUCAAGACACUUUUCAAAGAACAAGAGCAGGUCUAGACCACGCUCAUUGUUUGAUGAUCAAGAACCAACCUAAGAUGGGUUUUGGCCCAUCUCAUCUAACAUGAGUAGCAGUGGCAAGGAAAAACUUCCUUUUAACAGGCAGAAACCUUGGGCAGGACCAGACUCAUGCCAGACAGCCACCAUGCCGCUGCUGGGUUGAGGAGGAAUGUAGAGAGAUAGAAGGAGAGAGGGAGAGAGAGAGAGAGAGAGAGAAGAGGGCAGGGGGAGAGAGAGAGAGAACGAGAUAAGGGGAAGGAGAGAGAGAAUGAGUAAGGAGAGGGAGGGGGAGGGAGAGAGUAGAGAACAAGGGUGAGAGAGAGACAGGGGACAGCAGUAACAACAGCAACAACAACAACAGCUAUGGUGAAAUGUAAUGGUGAAACAAAAUGAAUUCAGUUUACUGGUUUAGGAUUUGAGUAAUGGACAAUGUUAAAUUAAUUAGAUGUGAUUACAGUCAGCAGGCCUAAUAGUAGUCAACUCUAGUUUUAUGUUAUUAAUGUCAAUGAGGCUGAUGUUCAUGUCUGUAGUAACAGUCCAGAGGAAUCCAAGAGAAGAAGGAGCUCAGGGCCUGAGGCGGACAAUCAUAGACGAUGCGGCUAGAGUCAGGCAGGUCUGCAGCAGCCAUCAGUCCAGGGCAACCUAGGGGGCUGGGGCUCAGAGACAUACAGAGAGAUCUGGUUAGCAAUUUGUUGGGAGAAAAUGACUUCAAUGUACAGGAUAAUGAAGUGACUAAUUAUGGACUAUGAUAAAUUAAUUUAAGGUGAUUAAAGUUAAAACUCAAUGGCAGUUUACUCUAGAUUUAUUUUAUAGAUGUCAGUUAGGCUACCUUACGUGUCUGCAGCAACGGUCCAGAGGAGCCUAAGAGAUGGAGGAGCUCAGGGCCUGAGGUGGACAAGUAAGGACGAUGCAGCUGGGGUCAGGCAGUUCCGCAGCAGACUAUCUGCAGCAUUAGUCCAGUGGAAGCUAAGAGACUCAGAGACACUCAGAGAGAGAGAAAUCUGGUUAGUGACUUAUAUGGGACAUAAAGAUCUAAAGGAGAGAUAGAGACAGACUCUAGCUCAGUGUGCCAGAUAACCCCGGCAGUCUAAACCUAUAGCAGCAUAACUAAGAGCUGGUUCAAAUCAGCCCAAACUGUAAGCUUUAUAAAAGAGUCAUGAUUUUGGAGUCAUAGAAACUCUGAGAAUUCUGACAAAAACUCAGAGUAUGGGCUGGGAGGGCGAUAAACUAUAGCAAAUACCAGUGGUCUCAUGGUCUUUGAGGCUGGAUGCGGAAGACUGAGAACAAGACUUUCAAAAGAGUUACAAUUCAGUUUUGGUCUUGGGUUGAUUGCAAGACUGGAAUUGUAAAUAGCUGCAACUCCACCACCUCGGCCAGAGUCCCAAGGAAUGUGAAAGCUUAGGUGGCUAGGAGGAGUGGAUUCAUUUAAGCUGACAUAUUCAUCCUGACGCAGCCAAGUUUCGGUUAGGGAGAGUAAAUCAAUGUGACGAUCAGAGAUUAGUUCAUUUAUUAACACAGAUUUGGAACUUAAAGACCUUAUGUUUAGUAGACCACAUUUUAUCUUACUACUACUUGGUUCAGCUAUGUUAGCAGUUUUAAUUCUAAUAAGGUUCUUGUUAUUUACUCCUUUGUUAAUCAAUUGGUUGAAUUAAAGAGCCGAGGACGAGGGACAGACACAGUCUCUAUAUUAAAGUGACAGAAGCUAGGAGGCUGCUCGAACAAAAGUGCAGAGGAACGUGCAGAACUGCGGCUAUGCUCCCUGAUCUCUAUGUCAAACUGAUUGUAGCUAGGAAGCUGCUCUGAAGGGAGUACAGAGGGGCGUGUAGGACUGCGGUUCUGCUCCCUGAGCUCUAUAUCAAACUGAUUGUAGCUAGGAGGCUGCUCUGAAGGGAGUGCAGAAGUGCAUGUAAGACUGCGGCUCUGCUCCCUUGUCUCUGUAUAUAAGUGAUAGUGGCUGGGAAGCUGCUCUAAAGGAGGCGCAGUGGGGCGUGUAGGACUGCAGCCCUGCUCCCUGAUCUCUGCUCUGAAUUGUCAGUGGUUCGGACUAAUAAAAUCGGCCAGAUUUCUGGAUAAAUGGGCCGCUCCAUCUCAAGCUGGAUGAAUGCCGUCCCGACUAAUCAGACCAGGCUUGCCCCAAAAUGACUUCCAAUUAUCAAUGAAGCCCAUGCCGUUUUGCGGACACCACCUUGACAGCCAGCGGUUGAAUGAUGAGAUACGGCAACUCAUCAGUUGUCUGAUCGGGCAGGGGACCAGAGAAAACUACGGAGUCCGACAUGGUUUUGGCAUAUUCACACACCGAUUCCACAUUCAAUUUAGUGACUUCAGAGUCAUUAACGCCGACAUGUAUUACAAUCUUACGGAAUUUACAUUAAGCCUUUGCCAGCAGUUUUAAACUACCUUUGAUGUCGCCCGCUCUGGCCUCUGGGAGACACUGAACUAUGGCUGCUGACUUCGCUAAUUUCACAUUUCGGACUACAGAGUCUCCAAUCACAAGAGCGUCGGGCUCAGCAGGUGUGUUGCUGAGAGGGGCAAAUUUGUUUGAAAUGUGAAUAUGGUGGUCUAACGUGGGCUUCUGAGGCCUGCUGCUAUGCUUCCCUUUCACAGUGACCCAACCACUACUACACCCCAGCUGCGCGGGAUCUGCUGGGGGGGGGGAGCUAAGCUAGGCCGACCCGCACCGGCUACCGGGUCCUGGCUGGCUACCGCUACUGUAGCAUCGGUGCGGAGCCGCUUUUCCAAAUCUGUAAUCCUCGCCUCCAGAGCAUCAGAGCACCAAAAAUCUGACACACUGAGCAGAAGCGAGCAGGAGAAGCAGGCGACCGGGGGGAAGCGAUUGUUAGCAAGUGAAGCUAAGAGAAGCUAAAAGCUAGUAAAGUAAACCACCAGAGAGAUCACCCAGAAUGGAGAUAAAGACGGUGCUUGGUGAAAACUAUCAGAUAUACUUACAGACUUUUAAACAAACAGAUGUAUUGAUAGAUUAAAGAGAGAAAAUAACCCAAAAAGCAAGAACACUAUCAGGAGGAGCAAACCGCUACACACAGUUCAACAGCAAGGAAGGGAAUGAUGCAAUGCGCACGCUCACCAGUCAGGAGGAGGAGUCAGCACUCUUUGUCCUUACCUGAGCUGUUAUUCACAUGACACAUGAACAGUAAGGAUCUGCAGAGACAGAGAGAGAUCUUCUGGAGUGAGGGUGUAACAUAAAAUCACUCCUUUAACUCGGGAUAUGAGAAGUCCUUCAUUUAGCUCAUGUUGAGCCUUUAUAGACCUUUAAACAGGGACUGAUGGCCCACCUGAUAAAACCCUUUAAACAGGGACUGGUGGUCCACCUGAUGGUCCACAUGAUGCUAUCAUCAGCAGUUAGUUUUUGAAGGAAAUGGAGACAGUUCAUCUCUACAGUCGGACACGAAAUAAGAGCAAACUGCACAGAACUGAGACAGAGCGGUAAGGGAGAGGGUCAGCAACCCAUGAAUCCACCCCCUUUGCACUCCCCCACCCCCCAACCUCUUUGAGGGAUUAAAGCUGCUCUCUAAUUGGAUGUAAACCUACUGUAAUCUGCUGGCCCUAAGGUCACGCACACUGUCACUCUGAUAUUAGCCUCACAGUCUGCUCAGGCUGAUCCAGCUGGAGACUGUCACAGUUACUUUGAUCAGUCUGAGAUCAGAGUUGAUCCUCAUUCAUCCACAGACCAGUUCAACGUUUACUGUAGGUUCAAGCUCAAGCGUGUCUCAUACCUGUCCUCACAUUCAUUACUGUAACAGACUGGCCAACACUGCAGCAGGAUUUCCCUCUGCUGCCUAAUAUCUGCUCAGAAAUACAGUUUCUGAAGCCAAUCAGGACUGAGCAGGCUUUGGUUGUAUCUGCAGGAUAUAAUCUGUGCAACAUCACACACAGACUGAAAUGUCAUCCCAGAGCUCCUCGGCUGUAAUCUGACCUUCAUUACCUCUUUAUUCAUAUCUGAAAACAAGAGACUUGUAAGUGUUUUGUGUAAAGGUCCUUACACACCAGGCGAGAAUUCGCCAAGCGAAUUAUUCGCCUUUUUUUAAAACAGCAUAAAGUCAAUGCAAGCUUCCACACCGGCGGCGAUUUUUCCGCGGGGCGAAAAGCCGCUUUUAUUUUUUCGCUCUUGUGUCGAAUUUUUCGGAUAUUCGCAGGCGAAUAUCUGGACCUGCUAGACCUCUGGCCAAUCAAAAGUCAUGUUGUUGAUGACAUCACAGACCCAUACGGCUGGAGGAGAGGGAGAAGUUUGAGAUUAUGAAAACGCAGAGAAAGACAGCUGAGGUGCAUCCAAAACUCUUUCGAAUUACUAAUGAAGUAGUUUUCUCACAAGAUGACUCUCUCUUGUCUUCCUUAGGAGACAGAUGUCAUGUGUCAUGUCCGUGCCGCAAAGCGACUUUAUUAAUUCGCUUUGCAAAAAAAUAUACGCAUAUUCGCUUCGCGGCCGGUGUGUAUAGGCGAAAGCGAUUUUUCGGACCGGCAAAUAUUCGCAAUUUUCGUCUCGCUUUUUCGCUUCGCUCCGCAAAUUCGCCGGUGUGUAAGGACCUUAAGACUGACAGCUCCUCGUUUCUGUGAGAGACUCUGCAGAGCAGCAGCAGCAGCAGCAAAUUAUGAUGGAAACACACUGAUUACAGUGUGUGUACAUGCAGGAGCUAUUCUUAGACACACACACACACUGGGUCAGGAUCCCUGUAGAGGUUUGAUAAGCGCCUGCUCUGCCUCCUUUUCUCCCUAAAGCAGCUGAACAGACACAGAUCAGGUUUUUAAUUCAGACUCAUCAGCAGCUCUGAAUUCUGGGGGGUCUGCAGAGGUGACAGACUCCACUAUCAGACAGAGGUGAGAAACUAUAGUGGCAGCAGGCUGAGAAGGUGGAUUCUCUAUAAUCAUGAUACCACCUUGGUCCGAUUAGUGGUACUGGAUAAAACUUCUGAACCUGUCAUUCUCCUCAUUUGUAGAGGCUCGGACACAACUCUGACGGAUUGACUGACACUGUAGCUGUCAGUGAGGAGGUUGGAGUCCGGCCCAAACUCCCCCUCUCCACCUCUUGGUAGGUCGACUGUCAAGUCAGCUUUUCCGUCGUGGUGACUGAUGAGGUUAAAACUCCUCUUCAGAAACCACCAGUGACCACAUCCAUGCUUUGGACAGGUCAUGGUUACAGCUGAUAGUUAGCACAAUGAUAGCAACAGGCUAAUGGGACUCUGCAUCUGCAUCCAUUAAACACCAGCAGUGGAGCUGGAGCUCAGUCCAGCACCAUCACAGCUCAGGAGAGACCUGUGAAGAGCUGAGCUCCAGGUAUACGGGGGAGCAAAAGUAUGAAUCACAUCCUCAUUUUAGAUUUCAUAGAUGGAUGCAGAAAAGUCCAAUUGAUUGAAAGUAACUGAUGUCUUCAAAAUGAGGGUUCAGAGUGAAGAGCAGAGACAGUGGAGAGACCCAGACUGUUAGUCCUGAUCCCUCCCAUUAUCAGCUCAGACAAAAGCUUUAAACCAAACCUUUAAACAGGAGACAUACCAGGUCUAGGGGGGAAAAUGGGAGGGGAUCAUCUAAGCUCUGGUUUUAAGACUUUAUGAACUGUCAGAGCUUCAGUCAUAGAAAACACACCUGAAACAGGUAAACCGCAAAAACGCGUAGGAAAGUCUGCUAAGAGUCUGAAUGAGUGUGUGUUAGUCCUUGUGAUUUUAGAUGUGUGUGUGUGUGUGUGUGUGUGUGUGUGUGUGUGUGUGUGUGUGUGUGUGUGUGUGUGUGUGUGUGUGUGUGUGUGUGUGUGUGUGUGUGUGUGUGUGUGUGUGUGUGUGUGUCCUGUCCUGGGGACUGUCCUGUUUAAACAUGUUAUUGAUAAAGAGUGUGUGUAUAGUGGCGGGUGGAGGUUGAGUUUCAGCCCUAAGGUCAGGGUUUCUUCAGUCCUCAUCCUCCAGCAUACAGCUGCUCCCGGCACACCUGAGCCAUGACUAACACACACAUCCACACACACACACACACACACACACACACACACACACACACACACACACACACACACACACACACACACACACACACACACACCUGAAAACACAAGGACUAACACACACUCAUUCAGACUCUUAGCAGACUGCAGACUGUCUUACUGUAUGUGAACACCUGGGUUGAGUUUGUGGGGCUUGCUUUCAGGAUUACAGGAUUUAGGGGUCAGGAUUCAGGAUUCAGGAUUUAGGAUUCAGGAUGCGGGAUUCAGGAUUUAGGAUUCAGGAUUUAGGAUUUAAGAUUUAGGAUUUCAGAUUUAAGGUUUCAGGAUUAGAGAUACAGGAUUCAGGAUUUUGGAUUCAGGAUUCAGAAUUCAGGGUGUGGUAUUCAGGAUUUCGGAUUCUGGAUUUUAGGACUUAAGAUUAAGGAUUCAGGAUUUAGGAUCUUUGUCUGUGUUGCUGCUGUGGCAAAAACAUUUCCCCCAUGGGGGAUCAAUAAAGGAAUAUUCUAUUCUAUUCUAUUCUAUUCUAUUAGCUCAGCUGGUCAUGUCCUACCAUCCAAUUAUCACAUGUAAAAAUGUUCAUCCUGUUUAAAGACCUUCUGCUUGCCCACUCCUCCUCUGUAAACUUCUCUGCUACUGCUGCUUCUCCCCAGCUCCUCCUUUUUAUGCUGUGUCUGAUUUUACCUGAGUCAUAUGGAUUUGUACAGAAGCUGCUCUGUACUGUACCUCAGCGGUCUUUGCGGAUGCUGUCCCCGCCUCUAUGUGUGCAUAUAAGAGGGCUGGAGCUCUGAGAACAGAACAAGACUACUAUCUAAAGCAUGAAAAUCCUAGCUCUGUGCAGCUUCAGUGGAGAAAAUCGAAUAUGAAUAUUUCUUUGGGCCUGUUAAACACCUGCCUGAUAGUUAGUGCUGGGUUUGUCUGUUUUAGGUUGCAAUAGAAAGAUGAAAUGCAUGGUGACAGACUUCUCUGAAAAUAUGGAGAUCAUGUUUCAUUCCUGUAUGUUUACCUCCCAGCAUUAGACUCUUUGAGUCUCCUUCCUAUUUCUUUAAUUUUUCAGGAUGACUAACUCAGGCCAAACUUUCACAAAAAAGAGUCUCUUCUGUAAGUCUUUAUUUAGAGGACAAAGUUUGAGUUUUUUGAUUCCCUAAAAAAAAACUCUUGAACAUGUGAAGGAGCUGGUGUGAGCUCAGUCUGAGCCUGCUAAAUAUUUCUGCUCUCUCUCUGGAUCUCAGCCAUUAAAACAGAGGGUAGACCCAGAGAAAGCCAGGAGGAGAAGUUUGAUUCUCUGCUCCACCCAGUCUGCUCCAACCUGACUGAAAUACAGCAGAGAAAGGGGGAGAGAGAGAGAGCAAGGGUGAGAGCUGAAUGAAUGAGGCAGACGGGAGAAAGGAGGGAGCAGGAGGAGGAGGAGGAGGGGUGAUUGUUUCUGGAGUGGUGGAGGUUUCAGAUUUCUCUUUUCUUUCGAUUCUCCCUCUAAAACUCUCCCUCCUUCUCUCUCUCUCUGCAGAUCGGGCUGAGCCCCGGCACGUUGUAGGCGUCUGCUCCCCACAGGAAGCCUGAGGAGGAAGAGGAGGAACACUCGAAGAAGAGAGGACAAAGAGGAAGAAGAAGAAGAAGAAGAAGAGAGAGAGAGAGUCGGGAAAGGUGGAGGGAGGUAAGCUCUGCUGCACGCGCUCUUUAUUUAAACUGAGAGAGGAAGAGGAGGAGGAGGAGACCUCUCUCUGCUUUCUCUGUGCUUUCAGUGUGUGUGUGUGCGUGUGUGUGUAUGUUUGGACUCGUGCUGAUGUGAGGACUAAGUAAAGGCAUGUCUGAGGGGUGUGACCACACAGAGGUGUGUGUGUGUGUGUGUGUGUGUGUGUGUGUGUGUGUGUGUGUGUGUGUGUGUGUGUCCAGUUAUAUAAAGAGUCAAGAUGCUGCAGUCAAGUGUGUGUUUGGGUCAGUUAUGUUUCAGAUGGCUGUAAAUCUAUUUUGGUCGAGCUAAAGUUCAGAGUGUCGGAGUUCUUAAAACCUAUGGAAGCGAUUGUGACUCAUAUCUCAAAUUCAAAAGCAUUAGCAGAAAUGCUUUUUCAUUUCAAAGUCAUGGCUGCACUAUUUGACUCAAAAAUAAAAAUCAAAAGCAA
Molecule: long non-coding RNA, 66657 nt
Filed under: Xyrichtys novacula (pearly razorfish)
Lineage: Eukaryota; Metazoa; Chordata; Actinopteri; Labriformes; Labridae
Source: RNAcentral